ACCAAGGGCAGCGCGAUCCGUCCGCGGGAGCUGGAGAGGUGGCACACGGGGAAAGAGACAUUAGCACCUCACCCCACCACCGCUCUUUUUCUUAAAACACUUUCUGGUGAGCGAUUUGCAGGACCCAAACAGGCCUGCCUGCCAGUUAAAUACUAGGGGAAUUAUUCUUAUCUAUCCCCCUCCCUCUUAUUAAUAUGGUUUUACCACAUUGUGGUACUGAUUGUGUGAGGCAGUGCUUUCAUGUGCACUUACUUAGGAUUUACUCCAAUUGAACUCAGUGUGAUUUACUUUCAAGUAGGCAUGUAUUAGAAUAAGUACCAUUGAACAAAGUGGGUCUCAGUUUCAAUAAAAUAUGUAUGGGGUUGGGGAGCAGGAAAGAAAGCUUGCUGUGUUUGUGUUGAGAUUAUGUGUGUUUUCCUGUGCUCUCUCUCUCUCUCUCUCUCUCUCUCUCUCACACACACACACACACACACACACACACACAAACAGCAGUUCAAAAAUCAAGAGGGAAGAGAGAAAGUGACAUCUGGCUUGAGGUUCAUGCAAUCUUCCUUCCUCUGAGUAUCAAGGUUUAGAGAGGUAGAUGAUAAUUAAAUUCCGCAAAGGUCCCAAAACUCGUGGCAGCAGAAGCUGUAUUGGUCAAAAGGGAUUCCCCUACCCCCUUUGUGUAUUGUGUAUUGCUUGUGCUGUUUUGGGGAGCUGUAAAUCUAGAAGGUGGGAGAGGAAUGGGACAGCUCUCUAUCCAGGGAGCUGCUGUUUGGCAGGAGGAUGACCUAGAUAACUGGGCCCCUCUUGUGUGGGGUGUGGUAGUUGGGCCCUUAUGUGGUGAGAGGUGCACCUUUCUUCUGUUGUCUUACAUAUUAUAGUUUAUUAUAUAUAGAUGCUGCAAUCAAUCGACAAUGUGCAUUGCACUUUGCAUAGUAUCUUAAGCAAAAAGGUAAGACCCUGAGGAGAGAGGUGUUGAGAGAGUCAGAAAGUAAAAGAGAGAUGAGCCUCUUUCUGUGAGAGAUGACUUGGAAGAUCUAUGCACCAUUGUUUCAGUGGCUUGCUUUUGUCCCUACACACAGUGGCAUUUAAUCCCUACAUGCAGGCAUCAUACUCUUUUUUUCUUACAAAGAAGGAAACAAGUGUGUGGGGGGGGUGGAAACCCCACAUUUUAAACUACCUAUAUAUGUAUAGCACAUAAAGCAGGCUUCCUCAACCUCGGCCCUCCAGAAGUUUUUGGCCUACAACUCCCAUGAUCCUUAGCUAGCAGGACCAGUGGUCAGGGAUGAUGGGAAUUGUAGUCUCAAAACAUCUGGAGGACCGAGGUUGAGGAAGGCUGACAUAAAGUGUCAGGAGCACGUUUUGUGUGUGCUUUGAACGAAGGCAUUUGUGCUUCUUUGUCCUCCUGAGCUGUGUGCCUGGGAGACCUUUGUUUGUUUUUAAGCUGUGAGUUGCUAUUAAUGUGGUGGAUUCUGCUCCUUACAGUUAGCUGUGACUGCACAUGAAAACAUACUUGGGAAGUUGCCAGUGGGUUGGUGCAUUUCCUCUCAAAGGUUAAAGAAAGAAGAGGGAAGACAGGAGGAGGGGAGGAGAACUGUGAUUGCUCACUUGCUCACGUUGUAGAUUUCUCCCUCCUCAGCCAUGUACUUAUAUGUCUUAUUAAACAGGCUUAACUUAAAUAUGGCUAUUAGGGGAGUACUUGUAGAAGAUACACGAAGGCAGAAGAGAAAUCUGAAUUUUCUUCAAUGUAGAGGAAUACUGCAGAGGUGAUGCAUUUUGACUAUAAUAGGGAGGGUUAGAAGAAGGCAGCUGUGGCAAGAUUUUAGGCAUGCAGUUUUAUUUUGCAUGAAGAGAUGACCUCAUAGACUCAUAGAGCUCAGUGUGUAUAACACCCAGCCCAAUAGGAUGAAGGCACUCUUUCCUGAGAUCAAGCCUUAUUGAACUCAGUGGUAGAAGUGUAUUGGAGUAGAGUAGACUAUCAGAGCCAUGCCACACCGACCACAGUUGCUUUUUUUUAAAGCCAUGGCUUAAUGUGUGCUACUUCCAUGACUCUUCCCCUGCUCCUGCACCACAGACUAAACAAACCAGAGUCUGACUUGUCAUGUCAUCCAAACCUUUACCCAAGGUUUGUUUAUCCAAACAAACCUUGUGUAGUAUGCCAGUAACAAACCUUGGUUACUGCUCUUGGUAUAUGUGGAGAGAAACAAACUAUGAGCCUAGGCUUGGGUGUUAUAACAAGUUAGACUCUGCUGUGUUUUUCAGUGAUACAAAAGAUGCAAAGGAGGAGAGCCAUGGAAACUUUUGAGCAAUGUUUACUAGGCAUGCUACUUGCUCACUUCAAACCAUAGUUUGUUUAAACUAUGAUUUAAUAUGACCAAACUGGGGCAGUUUAUGAAGGGGGAAUUAAUGAAAUGAUUUUUUAAAAUUCUGAUGAAUAUGGAUACAGUCAUACCUCAUGUUACGGACGCUUCAGGUUACAUGUUUUCGGGCUGCGGACCGCAGGAAACCCGGAAGUACCGGAACGGGUUACUUCCGGGUUUCGCUGCUCGCGCAUGUGCAGAAGCACUAAAUUGCACUUUGCGCAUGUGCAGAAGCGCCAAAUUGCGCCUGUGCAGACGCGAUGCUUCAGGAUGCGAACGCUGUGGGUUGCGGACAUGCCUCCAUCACGGAUUACGUCUGCAACCCGAGGUUCCACUGUAUAUCACUGGUUUAGAUGUUACUUUAAAAGGAAUAAUUUAGAAAUUAAAGUGAUUUAUGCAGAAAUCUUGGGGGACGCGGGUGGCGCUGUGGGUAAAACCUCAGUGCCUAGGACUUGCUGAUCGUAAGGUCGGCGGUUCGAAUCCCCGUGGCGGGGUGAGCUCCCAUCGUUCGGUCCCAGCUCCUGCCCACCUAGCAGUUCGAAAGCACCCCUAAGUGCAAGUAGAUAAAUAAGUACCGCUUUAUAGCGGGAAGGUAAAUGGCGUUUCCGUGUGCGGCACUGGUGCUGGUUCGCCAGUUGCAGCUUCGUCACGCUGGCCACGUGACCCGGAAGUGUCUUCGGACGGCGCCGGCUCCCGGCCUCUUGAGCGAGAUGAGUGAGCAACCCUAGAGUCGGUCACGACUGGCCCGUACGGGCAGGGGUACCUUUACCUUUACCUUUAUGCAGAAAUCUUAUAUCUGCUUAUGUAGGAGUAAGCCCCAAUGCAAUAAAUAGGGCAUUUUUGAACUGACAUUUUACUGCCAGGUUUGCAUUCUAUGUGAUGUAUGAAUCGUAACUUAUUUUUACAUCAGGCAUGCUCACAACACAAUUUAAUUUAUAUAGGCUACUGAUUCUUUUGAACCGGAAUGAGCAUGGUACACAUAGUUUAUCAUAUUUGAUGAUCUUACACACAGGUGCUCAAGGCCAUGGCCAACUGAGGCUUGCCCUGGCAUGUUCAUGCAACAAUAAACUUGGCAACAAUAAAGAUGGCAACAUGUUGCAGUUUAUGGUUAUACUAAUUAAUUCAUUCUAAUUUCAUGCAGGGAUUUGUAACAUAUGAAGCUACUUUAAUACCUUGGAUGUGCAGAUUGUUGGCCAUAGGGAUGCAUGCAUGUGCCAUUAUUUAUUAUCAUUGUCUUUAUAAUAGUUGUAAGUUUUUAAAUGAUGCUUAUUGUUGUGAUGGUCUGUUGUGAACCAUUUGUGAGGUCCACCGGAAAAGUGCAUGUAAAUAUUGCCUCCUCCAUGAGAGGUCCGGAGGAUGGCAAUAUGAGAACAGGCCUUUUCUGCAUUGGCUCCCCAUUUGUGGAAUGCUCUCUCCAGGAAGGCUGACCUGAAACCUUCAUUACACAUGUUUAGGUGCCAAGCAAAAACAUUUCUCUUCAAUCAGGCAUUUGGCUGAUUAACAUUCCAUGGUAGGGUUGCCAUAUGUCCGGAAACAGUGGGCAGAAAUGGCUGUAAUGUCCGGUAAAAUCCAGACGUACGGCAACCCAUAACAAAACUUUUGUAUCCAGAUUUUCACUUUUUGAAAUAUGGCAACCCUAUUCUGUGGCUUUUUAAAUGUGUUUGUGGGAGGGGAAGUUAUUGGUUUGCUUUUGUUUUGUUAUAUAUUUUGUAUGUUCCUGCCCUGGAGUUGAUAUCUGCAGUUGGGUGGGGAGUGGUUCUGGCUCCUUAGCAUCCUGUCAUUGGGAUCUGUAUGCCUGGCAGUGACUCAUGUGUGGUUCAUUUCUAUUACGGUACCCUGGCUCUGGAGCGCCCCCACCCUGAAAUUUGAUUGGCUUCAGCACUUAUUGGCAUCCCUAAGACUGGUGAAAACCUGGCUGUUUGUGCCAGCCUUUGGAUAUCAGCAGUGCUGCUAUUUGAUAUUGCUGAUAUGUUGUUUUUAUUGUAUUUUUUCUGGAAAAUGUGUACUAAACUGAGAUUUUCUUGCUUUAUUUAUGUUAUUAUUACCUCCCCAUCAUCCUAGAUCUUAGAAUGUAGGUUGGGAUACAAAAUAAAUAAAUAUUAUUGUAUUCUAUCGUUAAGUCACUAAAAUAUUUAUUUUUAAAAAUAUUUAAUAGACAGAAUAUAGUGAUUUGAUGCUGAAAGUAUCUGAUAUGAAAAUAAGCAGAUAAUUUAACUACGUUAAGUGUAUGCACUACCAUACUCCCUUCUGUUCCCAAAAUUAAAAGGUUACCAUCUAGAGUAUUCUAUCUGCUUUGUUAUCAUAGCACUGCUUAUUAUUGCAUCAGUAUUUCAAUAUUAAGUGAUCUUAAAGAUAUUUCAUCUUUCAUUUUGAACCCAGAAUUUGAAUCAGCAUUAGAAUGUCAGUGCUAUAAGAUAAGGCAUAACAAACUAAGUAGACAGCUGAAGGGCUCCUGUUGAAGGUGUUGCUGAGAAGGAUAUCUUGGUUUGUUCUCAGUAACCUUGUUUACAGGGACAUUUCAUUGCAACCAGAAAUUCAGCAGGAGGCUGCCUAGACUAAUGUCUGAGUGUUUGAAAUUGAUUGUGAGUGUCUUUUUCUUUAUGAACGUUACAUAUGCCUUAACAGCAUACUUAUGCAAAACUUUUCUAGAAGGUUUUUUUUGUGUUGUCUGUGAGUGUAUUGAAGAAAUAUGUGUCUAUAUCUGCAUUCAUGUACAGUAAAAGAAAAAAGAGGGAUGAUCUGAUCUGAUAAUGGUUUUCCAAUAUGCCACCCAGGAUUCAUUUGAUUUUAAAAGUCUCCUGGGUUUUAAAUGUGUAUUGUUGACUAGUCAAAAUAGUCUGUUAGGUCUAAAAAUUGAGAAAGCAUGUGUGUUAAUAAGCAGUUACAGUGAUGUGGGAUUCAACACUUUCUUAAGAUCAUUCAUUGAAAAAUGCAUAAAUAUAAAGGGUCAGAGCUAAAUGCUAGAAAACACAUUUUAAAUUGUUGCUAAAAUAUUUUGAAUAAUUAUGCAGGAUAUGUACUGGUCAUGCAUUUUAUACAGUAUUUUAUAACUCUAAACUAGUUGUAUUGUAAAGCUUUAUACAUAACUAUAUAUAACUUGUAUGAUAACUUAAUAAUGUCAGAGUUGUAUCCAAGAAGGCCAGUAUGGUCCUCGUUUGUCAUAUCUAAACACUCUAUAAAGCAGUGAUUCCCCAUUGUUAGUGGGCAGCUUUGUUUAAUUAUUAGGGCAAAAAAUAUGCAUGCAGACAAAAUCCUAAAUAAAUAGCCUCAGUCCUAAGAAGCAAUAAGGGUUACAGCAAUGAAACUUACCUAAUGCAAUUUUAAAUCCAUUCAGUAAAAAACCUUGACAGUAUCUGCCUUCCAGGUAGUGCACAUUUGGAAACAAUAUAUCUCCAUUUAAAUGCAGAUCUACAGUUUUCUCCAGGGGGCAGUUGGUGAAUCUUUCGACUGAACUGCUGGUACUUGAAAAACUAACUGAAGAUUUCCCCAUGAACAAGGGACUGUUUCAAGUCAGCUGUUUGAAUAAUGAUUAUAUAUUUUUUCUAAUAUUGUAGUUUUAUAUUUAUUUCAAAUGCCUUUUGAAAAACCAGACUGAGCUAAUACUACCUUUUUGUGUGUUUUUACUCAAAGCAGUCUUACCUUCAUUUAGAAUGUUUAACGAUAAAUAAUAAGUCUGACAAAUCAGUUCCUUGUUUUUACGUUGCCAUGAUGUUUGCAUGUGAAUUCUACACACACCCCCACCAGAUGGAUGGGGCAGACUUCCUUUGAUUUUGACCUAGAUUCUGUCUGAUUAUUCCUAUAUAGUGAGUACCUUGUAAUUUCCCACUGUGAAAAUAGGUGAACAACUGUUGAUGCCAUCUAGCAGAGCUGCAUGGACAAUAGGGCUAUGGUGCACAUGCGAUUUAACUCCAUCACUCCUUGAAGAUUUCAUUAUGAGAGCAAUGUGAAAACGGGUGCUUUGUUAAUAUGAGGGGUGGCAUGUGGGGGAAGGAAGUUUGGGGGUACAGUAGGACAAUGUUCAUCUUAUUAAAAUACUUUAAUUUGCUUUAGUCCAGGUGGUUUUAUGUUAACCAUGCUUAGGGUUCAAAUGAUGUCAACGCUUCACACAGAGAAACAGCAGAAGAUGUCAAGUUGAACAGACUGUGAAUACUGCAUGUUUUCAGUUACAUUUUCCACCUGUGUUUGCUAAAAACAGGGAAUACUCCUGGAUCUGAGGCUAGAAAAAUAUUUCAAACGCCUGAGCACAAGCAAACAUCCAUUUUUUAAAGGCAACAUACCUCACUAGGGAGGGAAAACUGAUUCAAAUUAAUAGAUAAUAGCACCAAAGAGACUAGGUAGAAAGGGAUUUUUCUUGGCCAUACUUAAGCAUACAGCCUGGGUUGGCUUCACAUACCCACACUUAUCACAUGGAAAUCCCACCCCCCAUCACUAUACCAAUAUUGCCUGUCAUGCAACUUGAAAAAGCUUUUGAAAGCAUAUACGGUAUGUAAAAAGGAAGCUUUGAGAGAGCCAAUGCAUUGUAGUGGAUAGAGAGUGCUGAACAUGACUUGGAGAGACAUGAUUUUAAAUACCCACCCAUUUACAAAUACUCAUUGGGUGACCUUGGAGCAAUAUUUGUUUUCUUACAUGGAAAACACAGCUGUGUGAAUCUAUUGCAGGUAUCCCUUAUAUCAGGACCCAUAUUCUCUUUCUAUUAAAGCAUCCACAGCUUUCAGGAACCUCUAGCAAAAUACUUCACCUUAAAACAAACAAAGUGGGGGGAAAGGUGCCGAGUCUUCUCCAAAAUUUCUACAAAUAGACCUAUAAUUUUUUUAUUGAAUGUGAAUACUAGGUAGAUUGCUUGAACAUGAGAGAGGUUAUGUGGUGCUGUUGGAAGUGCAGGUUGCAGUGACUCGGGACAGUAUCUUUUCAGCACUGGUGUCCAGAUUGUGAUAAUUCCCUGGAGUUUGUAUGGUUCACACAUGACAAAGCUUCCACUGAGUUGCAGUGAACAUUAUUUUUCCACUGGGCCUAUGACCUUGAGUGACUUUCUGUUGUCUCAGACUUUCCGGCUGUUCUGUAUGUAUAUGAUAGCUUUUGUUGGUAUGAAUUAAUUUAUGAAUUGCUUAAUUGUUGCAAAGGCUUCCUGGGGGAAAGGCAGCCUACAAAAGUAAGUAAGUAAGUAAGUAAGUAAGUAAGUAAGUAAGUAAGUAAAUAAAUAAGUGGGGAUAGGUGGACUCAGGGCAGAGUUUCUUCCCAGGUAACAUUAGUCCCACUUCUUAUUUCAGUGGAGUUGUUGCUGCUUUUUUUAAAGGCAUGGCCAAGAGGAACUAGGAUGACUAAUUCUUAUAUCAUGAUGCACUCCUUUCUUAAGAACAUAGGAAGCUGCCAUAUACUGAGUCAGAACAUUGGUCCAUCUAGCUCAGAACUGUCUACACUGACUGGCAGGGGCUCUUCAGGGUUUCAGACAGGGGUCUUUCCCAGUGCUAGCUGAAGAUGCUGGUGGUUAAACUUGGAUCCUUCUGCACGUGAAGCAGGUGCUGUACCACUGAACUACAGCCCUUCCCUUUCUUAACACAUAACCCCCUGAAAAUGCAUUACUGAAAACCCACUAAAGGAUUUGACUAUUAUGUUGUGCAUGUUGUGCAGAGACUGGAACAUUUUGUACAGUGUGAUGUUUCCUUUGAUAAUGGAAGGAGAGAAAAAUAUUAUUGAAGCCAUAGGAUAAGAGAAUGGUGCUAUUUUUCUAGAACAUAUUUUCUGAUGGGGAAUCUAGUGGCAGUUGCUUUGAAGCAUGUGUAAUUGAUUAUCAUACAUUUAUUUUAAAAAGGAGACAUAACAAGGAAUCUAACAUGAUGUUUUGGAAUAUAUCUGCUCUCCACAAUGUUCUUGAGGAAAAUGUAAGGUUGCAGGCAUCAUUUCAUGCCCUAUAUGGUUUUGAACAUAAAUCAAAGAAAUUGUUGGAGAGUUAUAGAUGUUCAUAGCAACUGUAACUAUAAUAAACACAUGCAGUAUAUAUUUUCCAAGCUAUUUUGUAUGAGCAAAAAGCUGUAGCUGGCAAUUGGUAUGAACAAUUCCACUUAAUCACUCAAAAUUUGUUUCUUCAUUCAUGAGAAAUACCAGUAUAGCAUAAAGCCAUACACCUUAGGAUUAGGUUUAGACAGUGCUUUUUUCUAAAAAAUAUAUAUGUUUAGGGGUACUCUCAUUUUCCUACUAUUGAAAUACUGCCCUUCAAUGAGGCCAAACUUAGAUUCACAAAAUGUUUAGGAGUAUGCGUACCCUUGCGUCCUCCCAGAAAAAAAGCACUGGGUUUAGUUUUAGAAACAUUGAUUAAAGCGGGGGAAGAGUAUGAAUUAGAUGUACUAGUCUCCUAAAAUCCAAGGCCUGAAUGUCACAAUCAUUUUCUAAAUUAAAGGUACUGUUAUUUUAGUUACAGACACUUUAGGAAUCACUUUUUAGAUGUAUUUUAAUUAUCAGUAAGUGUAAUACAGAUUUUAUCCUUGUUUCAUAAUAUGAACAUAUUUAAGGAAUUUAGGAAAGAAAAGUACAGUAACAGGACAGAAAGGAGUAUGCACCAUCUAUUCUCCAACAGCUUGUGUUAUCUACUCUGAUUAACUCCUUCAGAGUUUAUACCGUGAAAGUUAGCACUUUUAAAAGCAACACCACCUCUACUAACUUCAAACAAUGAAUGCAUAGACAUUUCAUAACGUCCCUUUGACCUGCUGUCGCUCCCUUACUACUAAAAAAAGAGUUUCAUUUUCUUCUUAGUUAAAUAACAUUCGCAAUAUAUAUACAUUUUUGGGUUGGGUGAGAGUAGGGGCAUGGCAGGGAGGUUCCUGAUACUGCAUAGUUUCAGCCACUUCAGAAUUCUUUAAAUACAUCUUUCUGCCCUGCAUGUUAACCAUUAUUUUUAACUACAUGACACAAAAGAGCAGGGGUGCCCUCAGGAUUGUGGGUGCCUACUGCCACACACGGAUGUGAAACAUCACAUGAACAUGCCUGCACAUGAUGUGUGUGACCUCAUACAGCCAGCAGCCAGUGAGGCACCCUUUUCCGCGGUGAGGGGCUUGGACUUGAACUCUGCCUCCACACCCGAAGCUCACCACCCAUAAAAAGAUGCCUCGCUGGCUGGCUGCAGUGAACAGAGCUGAGCUGCUUCUCUCCCUGCCGACUUUUUUCAAUGACUUUGUGGUUGCCCAGCCCCCACAAUCUGGAGAGAAGGAAAUUUGCAAAGAACAGUACAGGAGAACUGAACAAAAUAACCAGGCAUAAAUUAAAAACACAAUAUAUAAGUGCAAUAUAAGUGUGUUGCUGCCAACUAUAUAUUAAGAAAGAUAAAACAGCAUGUCAUAUGUUCUGCAACUUUAGACAUGUACAUGCAUCACUCAGUAUAAAUAAUAAUGCUGUUCAGUCUUUGUAUUUAAUGUGGAAUGAAGGUCAGGGUAGCGUUGUGCACUGUGUAAAAGGCCAGAUUUGAAUCAGGGUGCCUGGUUUUCAAAUCUUUAUUUAGACAAAUACCCCUCAAUCUAAUAUGAUUUGCAGGGGUACUGUGAUUCUACACUGGGAAAGAUGUAUGCUCUAAUUAACUCCUUGGACCACUAAAUUUAAAAAAUACACAGGGAAGCAAUUUUAAUUAGGUGUUUCUUAGUAUAGUAUAGCAUAGCACAGAGCCAAGGCUUAGUGAAUAGAGCACAUCCAAUCUCCAUUAUCUCCAGGUAUGUCUUAAAGCCUGGAGAGGCACUGCCUGUCAGUGCAAAUGAAACUGAGAUACAAUGGGCUGACUUAUCAUCAUAGAAUGAUAAGAGGUGGAAGGGUCCACAAAGGUCAUCUAGUCCAACUCCCUGCAAUGCGGGAAUCUUUUGCCCAAUGUGGGGCCUGAACCCACAACUCUGAGAUUAAGAGUGGCAUGCUCUACUGAAGCACGUGAACAUAAGCAGGUACUCGCUUGGCGUUAAUAAGGAUCAGGCAGACUCAGCAAUGGAGAAUAAGAAGGUGAAGUUUAUUGCCAGGCAAUAAGGACCCAGUUUGGAAUCUCUUCCAAAAGGAACUGGGACCCCGAUUGACAGAAAUCCAGAGGUCUUUAUACCUGAGCAGAUCACAGCAAAUCAUAGAUCAUGAGACAACCAUGAGGCCGUCACGAUAUUGCCAGCGAAAAUUAGCCAAUUAGCGAGCUUCUUGCCAUGCUUCCAGCUCCUGGUCAAGCACUGGUCAAGCACGGAGUUCUAGUUCUGCUUUCCGCUGCUUGCAGUGACGCUCUGUCUAACCUCUCCCCUAGUUAUGACAGGACAGGGAGUAUUGGAGAUUUUGUGGUUUGCUCUUCCUGUUCUGUGGAUUAAUUUAGCCUGUAUCUGAGGGGAUUUUGUACCAGUAUCUCUGAUUCACGUCUUCGCCUUGUUCAGGGUACACGGAUGUUUGUAGGGGAAAGGUCGGCUCCUAAUUUUGCUGUUUCAAGCAGUAUGCAGAUAGCUAAGGCACAGCUUCCCUUUGAUUCAAAAUGGAUUAUAAAAAUACUGUAAGCCCUGAUUAUGUAUGAGCAUAUAUGAAUAUAUUGAUUACUGAUAACUGAUUAUAUGAAUUGCAUAAGGGUAGCCCUUCUUCCUUGCCUCACUACCAACUGAAUUUAUAGAUUGGCCAGUUUAGAUUCAUUUCAGUGGGUUAUUGUAGCAUCAGAUUAAAGAAUUCCACUUUUGUAUGCGUGCUUCUCAUGUCAGGCAAGAGGCAUAGGAAGACUAGGAUAUACAUGCCUACAACAGUUCAUUGUAUAUUUUCUUCCAGUUAGAUCAAUGGCAUUGUGACCAGUUGGGGAGAAACUUUCACCCAAGAGAAUUGAUGCUAAGAUUGUUCAAGAAGGAGCACUGUACUUUAAAAUGUGGCAUUUACACGGUGCCACGCACCCUGCAUAGUACCCUUGAUUUCUCCGGCCUUCAUUUGCAGAACAAACAAAUACACACAAACUAUUACUAUGUUUGGAGGACAGUUUAAGGCUAUGAGCAGAAUUUAUUUUAAAAAUUUGGCAGUGGAGACUUACAUAUCCAGUGUCUUUAGAUUUUAUUUGGAAGAUAUUAUUAGUGUGGCUAUUAGCUAAAAUCAGCUCAAAUAUUUGUGAAUGAAAAUGCCUAUGAUGAUGUGUAAAAAGUUAUAGCAAUUACACGUCAAUUGAUUUGUUCCUUCAUUUAUUCUAACACGGCAAGUUCUGUUUGUGAUGCCAGUUAUCUAGGUGAAGUCAUCACUGUGUUCAAAUCUACAUUGUAAAGAGAGCUCUGAAUGAAUUGAGUUGAGACAACGUGAGGAAAUGAAAGGUAAUGGUAUUAUAACUAGGGCUGCCAUAUGUCCUGAUUUUCCUGGGAUUUCAAAGGCAGAACUGACAUCUGGGGGGGGUAUUUCCGAAAGGCGGCACUUUGUUCUAGAUCUUAGGUAAGUCAAUUGAAAAAUCGUGGGAUGGUUUUUGUAAAAAAAAAGCUCAAUGACUUUCAGGGUUUCCUGGUUUUUACUUUUAGGAAUAUGGCAACCCUAUUCAUAAUCCUAUUUUAGGUGGGUUUAGUAAGGUGUGUUCAAAAAAUGAAUGGCUAGGUUGAAGUACAGUGCUGAUACAGUAUUUCCAAUAUUAUAUGGGGUAAUAAAGAUACAAUAAUAACCAGUUCUGAACAUUCUAAAGUCAUGUCAAAGAAAUAAUACAGGGAGCCUGUUUUCAGGGGCUUAGUUACAUUGGACUGAGUUUGAGGAGGAAAGAAGAAGGAAGUAACAAUGCAUUUCUGAUUCUUCAUCCUGUCCUAAAUGCAGGAGCUGAGGCGGAAGAACAUAUUUUUCCUGCCCUUUCAAAAUCUCUUCUAGGAUUACAGGGAUGUAAACACAUUAUUGGUGCUUUGUCCCACACACCCAACUUGUUGUUGUUGUUUAGUCGUUUAGUCGUGUCCGACUCUUCGUGACCCCAUGGACUAGAGCACGCCAGGUACUCCUGUCUUCCACUGCCUCCCGCAGUUUGGUCAGACUCAUGUUUGUAGCUUCCAGAACACUGUCUAACCAUCUCAUCCUCUGUCGUCCCCUUCUCCUUGUGCCCUCCAUCUUUCCCAACAUCAGUGUCUUUUCCAGGGAGUCUUCCCUUCUCAUGAGGUGGCCAAAGUAUUGGAGCCUCAGCUUCACAAUCUGUCCUUCCAGUGAGCACUCAGGGCUGAUUUCCUUAAGAAUGGAUACGUUUGAUCUUCUUGCAGUCCAUGGGACUCUCAAGAGUCUCCUCCAGCACCAUAAUUCAAAAGCAUCAAUUCUUCGGCGAUCAGCCUUCUAUAUGGUCCAGCUCUCACUUCCAUACAUCACUACUGGGAAAACCAUGGCUUUUACUAUACAGACCUUUUACUAUACGGAACUAAGUUGGCUUUAAGAAAGUUUAAGGAGCAAUGCAGUUGCUUGGUUGGGUGAAGCAACCUGUAUCUCCAGUUGGCUGCAGUUGUUGCUUCUGCUGAUUUGUAAAGGUGAGAGUGGCUUUGCAGAGCAGGGCUAGCUCCUCAAUUGGGUCUAUCAAUUUCGAUUUUGAAUUGAAGACACAGGAGGCAUCUCCACCUCUUUACUCUCUCAUCCAUUACUGAAAUUUUCUAAACUCAAAUGAGAAAAGAUGUAAGAAAUGCACAAUAGUUUCUGUCCACAAAAGCACCCCAACUGUAGUAGAUUUACUCAAUAGAUCUAAUCUAUUGAGUCUGCUACCUCUUCCCACACUCCAUCUGAAGACUGUUAUCAAUACAGCCUCUAUGGCUUUAAUACCAAGCCAGCUUUUCAUUACAACCUGCCUCCCUUUUGCUUGAAACCCAGCCUGAUUAAGAGUUCUAGAGAAGCCGAAAGAUUACUCACUGUUUUAGAAAAUUCAGGUUGGCCUAAUAAAGGGGUUGCUCUACUAUAGAUUUUGGAUUUUGUUGUUGCUCUUUGUGUAACUUGAUCAAGGUAAUUCAGCAGAAGCAUGAGGUUGUGGCAGAGACAAAAAUCUGACUCCAGCCCAGUGCCUGAUAUUGUAUACCAUACUCCUGCCUCAUUCUUCAGUAUACAAAUUAUUUCACCCUCUGCUAGGAAGUAUCAGCUCAGUCACCUAGGAUGCAAACUUGCAGAAAAUAACAAGGUAUUCUAGGAGGAAAUUAUUGGGGUGUAGAUAUUGUAGGAACUGGUUCAGAUGGCUAUGAAGGUGGCUUUGUGUGGUGUAGUGGUUAAGAGCGGUAGUCUCGUAAUCUGGGGAACCGGGUUCGUGUCUCCGCUCCUCCACAUGCUGCUGCUGGGUGACCUUGGGCUAGUCACACUUCUUUGAAGUCUCUCAGCCGCACUCACCUCACAGAGUAUUUGUUGUGGGGGAGGAAGGGAAAACGAGAUUGUUAGCCGCUUUGAGACUCCUUCGGGUAGUGAUAAAGCGGGAUAUCAAAUCCAAACUUCUCCUCCUCCUCUUCUUCUUCUUCUUCUUCUUCUUCUUCUUCUUCGUGCAGUUCACUGCUUCUAUUGAUAGAAAUUUGGUCAUGUGUCUUUUCAACCAGUUACAUCUAAGUAACAUACAGAGGAAUAGACAUCUCUAUGGUUUACUUAUGUAAUAAAGUCUACUCAAGACCCAAAACUUUUGUGUACAAAAGUUCUUGUAUGUAUACAUAUAUUCUUAAGAUCUUAAUUUUUUUCCUGUCUGAAUUCUAGGGCAUACCCAUUUGCUGUACUGUCAGUUUUAGUUUCUGCCUUUUGGAGCAAAGUUCACAAUAACAAAGAAAUAGCACACAAAAUACUGCUAGCUAGAAUACUCAGAAUGCUGGGGGCGGGGGGAUAAGGGUGCUGAAUAAAAGAAAGAAUCAUAAACACUCUUGCAAUGCUCAGAAACAAGUUUGUUUCAACAACAAUUAAAAUAAACUAUGAUUAUGUGCUUAAUCAUGGUGCAUGUAAUCCUACACAUCAAUUAUGCCUGUGUGAAAGAUACACUGAGGCAUCAGCACAAUGUCUAGCAAAUUGUAUGCAUGCCGAAUCCACAACAGGAGAGGAAAACACAUUACUUCAAAAAGCACACAAUGGAGCAAAAACAACUGCCACAGUCUCCAUGCCUGCUAAUCAUGGACUAUUGUGACAGUUGACAUCUCUGUGCCACUCUGAUGCAAAGGCAACCAGUGCACUGACAGAGAUGCACCCCCAAGGACAGGAGCAAUGAGCCAGCUGCUGCAAGUCCCAGAUAUCCCUGUAUAAUAACAUAGGAAGAUGAAUUAUUGCAAGUCAGACCAUUGGUCCAUCUAGCUCAGUAUUGUCUACACUGAUUGACAGUGGUUCUUCCGGAUUUCAGAAGUUUCUCCCUACCUGGAGAUUCUGGGAAUUGAACCUAGAAACUCCUGCCUGCAAAGCAGAUGCUCUACCACUGAGCUAUUGUCCUGCAGCCAGGGGUUCAUUCCUUUUAAACCACACACUGCUCACAAGGACUGUUUUCAGUCCGGACAUACAAAGGAAACAAAGGAGAAACCUCACAGCACAGAGAAGAAACAAUCUGAGACACCUCUAUGCUCACCUAGGAACUUUUUAUUUAUUACAAGAUCAUAUGCAAGAUCCAUUGUACUCUCUAAAAUAAGCAAACACUUGAGUUGUUUCCAGGUUUGCUCACUCUUGAGUCUUGAAAUGAUCCUGCAGUAGCACUGACUACUGCCUGAAAGCAGUAACUUGGAUACUGAGUAGCCUUCCUUAAAAAAUGAAGCUCUGAUAAUCCAUCAGAGGAUGCCACUCAUGGACGAGACAAAAGAGGCAAUUUUCACAAAGUUCUACUCCCCACUGCAGCUUUCUGUGCUACCUCUCUGGAGCAGAUAUCAGGGGGCUGCUGGGGGGAAGGGGAAUUGGUCAUAUCUCACCCUCUUUUCUCAGGAGCAAGAGGUUCAUUGAACAGCACACUGUUCACAGGAUCUCUGGCUCCAACCCGGUGUAUAUAUAUUCUGAAGCAAAGUGCUGUAAAACCACUGUGAAGUCAAUGGUCCUGACAUGAAGCAUUCUUCCCUAAAUCACUGUGUGCAGCUACUGAAGAAAGGCAGAACCAAACAAAUUAAUCUCUAAGGUACCAUAACACGUGUUUUAGUUCUGCUACAUACUAACAAUGUUGAUCGUGUGUUUGCACUGCACCACAAUGCUGACUGCAGAAUAUGGUACCAGACUCCAGUCACAACCCCAAGGGGACAUGCUGCUCUCUUGAUUAGGUGUAGUUAUCUGUGCCUGUGUUAAAGAAGAAGCAGCCGCCAUAAUUCCUAGAAUACUAGGAUGUCACUGUCUUUGCUUACCUUGUGCUACAUCUAGAUCUAGAUUUAGCAAAUUUCUUAGUUGUCUACUACAAAAAAAGUCUCUAUGUGGCUUUCAAUAAAUACAAAAAAUUCAAAACAAUGUAAUCUUAUCAUCAGUAAUUAACAUACCAGACUAUAGUGACCAAUAAAACUGCUAAAAAAUCACUGAUGUCAUUCUGAAUUAAGCAAUACUGAUAAAAAGUAAUAAGGUACCACAAAAUGAAAGUUCAGACAAGUCUUCAAAUAGUGCUGAAAAGAUGGUAAAGUUGGUGCCAGGCAGAUAGCAUUACAAGACUGGAUUGGGUGAGGUGGGGACAACUGAAAAGGUCAUCUGCUUUGUUGCAGGUCUCUGAACCUCUCUUGGAGAGGGCACCUGGAGAAAGACCUCAAACAAUGUUCUCAGGGUAUGAGUUGGUUCAUGUUAAGAGACGCAUUUCAAUGGGAAUUGGAGUUUUAUGCCCCAACCAACUAAUCCUUAUUAUUAGUCUGACCACUGCAUUUUACAGUAACUGCACUUAUUGAACUGUCUUCAAAGGGAGUCCCAUGCAUCGUGAAUUGCAGAAAUCUGACGUAGAGGUUACCACAGCAUAGCUAGGUUAUUUUUGCCUAGAUAGGAGUGUAACUGUGGGAGGGUCUCUGCAUCAGUGAAACCACUUCAAGUAACAAUGCUGGAUCCAGGAGGACCCUCAAACUAAGAAUCUGAUCCUUUUGGGAAGUGCAACCCUAUCCAGAACCAGAUAAACACUGCUAAUCCAGGCAGAAGACCCACCAACAGCAUAUCUCUUUUGUCUGGAUUGAGCUUCAGUUUAUUAGCCCUCAUACAGUCCUUUACUACAACCAGGCAAAGGGGACUUUUGGAGUAGGAGGGCAAGGGGCUCCCUUGAGCCUGCACCUAACUGUACUGGAGGAGCACCCUGUUGCAUUAAAAAGCUGAGGAAAAAUAACAUAGAUCUGUUCCAUUUCUCUUGCACAUAAUAUUGUUUUAGUUGCAAUGGCAGAAGCCCCUGGUUAGGUUGCUGUUGCUGAGGCACAGGACUGGCUUGCCCCAUAGCUGCUCUUUAGUGGAGUUACCAUUAUUGAGAUAAUGUAUGUGAAACACUUUGUGUUAUAUAGAUGCUAAGUAUUGUUAAUUUGGGUCAGGGUUUGCUGUGGGUAUAAAGUUUUCAGUUGCAGGGCAUGUUCUGAAGGCAAAUGCCUUGUUGAACUAAGCAGGGUUUGGCCAUUUUCUGGAAGGGAGGCCACCCGGGAAUUUCAUGAAUGACACAAUGAAUUUCAUGAUGGAGGAAAGUGGUGAUAUAAACAUAAUAAUUACAUAUGUUACAUGUAUGUGUGUAGGUAGGUAGCUAGAUAGUAACAUAUAAUAUAUGUACAGAUGUUUGCUUAAAGUAGACUAAAACGGAACAUGAAUCCAGUAAUGACUCUCAUUCCAACUCAGAGAGCAAUGUGCUCUUGUUAUAGUGAAAAUGCAUAUCCUAGAUGUAUUGACAUGUGAAUAUUCCUUCCUUAAUGCAGUAGGACUUAUUUCUCAGUAAACAUUUCCCUGUGCAUGCUGCACAGCUCUAUGCACCUUUACUCAGAAGUAAAACAUGUUUUGUAUGGGACUUAUUAAUUAUGCAUAAUUAUGCAUGCAUGAUAUUGCACCUUUGAGGAAGUUCACAUCAUAGUGUUAACAUAUACUGUGGAAGUUCUACUGAAAUCAGUGGGGCCACCAGGCAUUGUUUUGGGAAUUGGAUUGUCAGAAGAAAACGUAACAGUUUAUAAGCGAAAAACUAAAUUAGGAUAACAAAGCAUUUUUCAGAACUGUCUGCAGUCCACUAUGCAGCCAAACCACAGAAUAGGUUAGGAUGUCUGUUAUGAAGGGGUAAUAAAAGCUGCCCUUGCCAUAAUUUCUUCUUCUCUAUCAUUAAAGGCACAAGAACCUUGAUUGUCUUGCUGCUAGCUCCUUAAGUAUUUCCCUCUCAGGAAUACAUAAGGAUUGUGGAAUAUUUGCCAACUUAUAAUAAAACCAAAAACUAACAAUACACUUUAAAGUUAUUUUUGCAUGUGCAGGAGUAAGCACAACUUAUUUGAGUUGUGUGAAGUUUGUCAAAGGCUGCUUUGCACUCCAUAGUCUGGCACAAGCUUCACUGAAAUGUGAUGCCAUUGGUUUUUCAGAAAAGGUUUCUUUCUGCAGGGCUGCAAACAGGCAUCAGCUGCUACAACUAGGGAGCAAAUCAACCUUCACAUUUUUAAACAGCUUUUUCCCAAGCCUGAGACUUUUCUCCUAAGAUUUAUUCUCUAUUUGGGAAGUUCCCUCUUUAUUUUUAAAAAACUAUAUAUUGUCAGAUUUAGCACUUUACUCAUGUAAUCAGAUCAGAGCUGAGAUCAUUGCUGCAUGGUAGAAAAGGCAUCCUUAAGACAUUUGUCCUUGAAACUGCACCAAACUCUUGGAAGAACCCAGAACCUGUAAGUAUGUUUGAUUUAAGCAAUGAUAGUGCAGUGCAAACCUGCAAUCAACUAUUAUACAAUAUCCGAUUAACAGUGUCAUAGGGAUUUUUCUUCCUCCCCCUCCCCCGACAUUCUGUUACAUUCAUUUUCAGUUCGUUGUAAGGAAACAAAUCAAUUCAGGCUUCUGAUACAGUGACUUUGCAGUAGAUGAGCUAGUAAAAUGUUUGAUUUUAACUAUUUGUUGUGUUCUUGUGGCUGGUGGGACAGACAUUACAUCCACCAAGCUAUAGGUGACUUUUCUGCUGGUUUUUUUUUUUUAAAGGAAUUUAAAUGUGUGUUGUAUCUACCUUGUAAACAAACAGUCCCCUCUCUCCCAAAAUAACAAGCCACUCCAGACAAACAGUAAGUAAUGAGGCAAACACAAUCCAUCGAUAUCUACCUUAAUUAACACCAAAACAUAUGAGUUUGCAAUCUUAAUUUACUGGUAAAGAAUACUUUUGCCUUAAUCGAAUUCUACUUAGUUCUGUCUGUUUUGUAAUUUACUAUCAUGUCUAAGUUUCUUUGCAUAGACUGCAGUCUCAUUAAACCUGUACUUAAGCACUCUGUGUUUACAUUACAGAAACAUCCUGAUUGUUGUUCUUAUUUUAUUGUUUUUAAAUAUAUUUAAGAAAUGACACUAGGAAAUAAAUGUCAGUUUUAUUAUUCUGGAAAGCUUAGGGUGUAUGUAGUAGUCUCCAAAUCCAACAGUACAAACAUAUUCAGUUAUAAGCUCAGCUUAAACUGGCGAGAAUGGUUUCAAAGUAAACAUGUUUACGAUCAAGGUGCCAGAUUUUGACAUGUCCCCGCUUGUAGCUACAGCUAAUAUAUAUAAAAAACCCUUGAGUUCCCUUUCAAUAAAUUUUUAAUAUACAACAAUACCUAUAUUUAUAAGAUUAAUUUCUCCCAGGUUAGCCUGAUUGAUAGCUGAAUUGUGGUUCCUUAAGUGCUUUCUUCAUGAAACCCACAGAAGAACUGCAUUCCAUUUAACUAGUGAAUGUAAAAACUGGUAACCAUGGAUUCAGCCACCACUAACUGCUGAGUGCAAUGACUUGUUGUAAACAAUACAAAUGAGCCAGGAUAGCAGAAGCAACCAGACAUGAAAUGAUUUUAAUAGAAAUUAUAGGAAGGGUCAUGUGAUGCUAUAUCAGCUUGUGUUCACUAUUAAAGGAAAAGUGUUUCAUUUUCUUCUUCUAAUGCUCAGUUUAAAUAGUGUGUUUCUUCCAGGCUCAUAGUUACAUAGUAUCCACUGAAAGGGUGGUAGGGAGUAAUUCUCUGAAAAUAUUUCUGGUUUAAUAGCAUAUUAAGUGUCAAUUUAACAUUAGAACAGCCAUACUGGAUAAGUUCAAUGACACAUCAUCCAGCCCAAUAUUCUGUCUCUGACAGUGACCAGAUUCAGUUGUUUCAGCAACACUUAACAAUACAUUGUUUUGUUUUGCUUCACUUUCUAAAAGCAAGUUUCUGUACCUUUUUAUGGACUCCCAGAUCAUACCUGCAAGUAUGUUGGUAAUGUCUGUAGAAAUCUGCAGUCAUUUAUAGCUGCUUCUUGGAAGCCGUCAUGGCAGAGGAAAGGGGCUUGAAUUUUGGAAUCUGGAUUAAGUAUUGUACACCCCCAAGUCCUGACCUUGAUCUGGCACCUUGUGCAUAGUUUCAAGUAAUCAAGUGCUAUACAUUGGGGUAAAAAUAUAUUUAUUUCACAGAUAUGACCUUGGUGUCAUAGUGGUGGCCCGACUGGACAUCCUGACUGGACAUCCUUGGAGCACUCCACAGCUGGGGAGCCACCAAUGAACAGCCCUGUUCAUUUGGUGCAACCAUCUGCAGCUCUUUUGGGAGGGCACACAUGAAGAAGGACUUCAGAAGAUGAACACAAGGUCUAGGCAACAUCACAUGGGAGGAGGCAUUCAUUAAGGUAUUGGGUUCCUGAGCCACAUAAUGCUGUCUAGGUCAAAACCAGCACUUUGAAUUGAGCUGGAAAACUAAUCAGCAGCCAAUGUAAUUGGGCCAGACUUGAUGUUAUAUGUUCAGGCCUCCUGGUCCCAGUCAAUCAUCUGGCUGCUGAAUUCUGUACUAACUGCAGUUUCUGAACUGUCUUCAGAGGCAGUCUCACAUACAACACAUUGAGGUUGCCAAAGCAUAGACAAAUUGUGUACCCACUCCUUUACGGGGAGUGCACAUCCAUCCAGAGCAGGCUGAACCUCACCUGUCUUCUCAAGCAUUCCCUUGCCUGUGCAAUUACCUGCCAUGUGUAACUUUUAUUCAACUGCUGAACCUGAGAAGCACAUUCAGAUGUGUGCAGAACAAAAUGUAGUAGCGGCACAUGUUUUUUAAGCAUGCAUUUACCACAACUUUUGCAUUUCAAGAAGAUUUAAGUAGAUAUCUAAUAUAAAUAGAGAAAAAUAAGCUUCAAAGUUGUGGCGAAAAGGUUAAUAAAUGCUUUGACUUUGAUUUCUCAUUCACUGUCCCGCAAAUUCAUUUUCUUCAUUUGAAGCCAUUGUCCUUUGGAGUCCUGAUAAGCCAUUCUGAUGGUAGGGACAUGCAAAUCAUUUGCCCUGUUGGUAUGUCAUGUUUCAAGAUUUCCUACUUUUUUUCUGUCUCCUGCCUAUCCUUUAUAAAGUUUAGCUAUAGCUAACAUCACUUCCAUACACAGUAUGCAUUAGCAUACUUUUUAAUGUACUGUAUGUAUUUCAAACUCCUUCAAAACUUCCUUAAUGAUGCCAUGUUUAGCUAGUAUCUGCUCUUUCUGCUGUGCUAGUUGCUUCCACCCAUUCCUCUGUUAACAAGAUAAGACUUCGCAAUUGUGAAAUAAUCAGUGAACCAUUAAAUUAAAUAAAAACCAAGGUACUGCAGAAAGCUGUGGUCAAGGCUGCAAUCCUCAACAUAUUUGCUUGUGAGCAAACCCACUGAAAUUAAUUAAUAUAUUAAAAUUAUAGCAAUUCUGAUUUCAAGUUAUCGUAAAGUAAAUCUGAAUUGUACAUCAGUAAUUUGCAAGUUUCAGAAACAUUACCGGAAAGAUAAUGUUUAUCUGCAUAAACAUGGAUGCUUGGACCCUUAAACCUGUUGCAGUUUAGCUUUCAUAGAUGUCACAGAUACUCCAUUUAUUGCGCUCUUCGUUACGGAUAUCAGAGUUUAAUACAAGGGAUGUCAUGUGUUAAAUCUUACAGUGUAGUCUGCUAAGUAUGCUACACUGAGUUUGAUGGUACUUACUCCUAGGUAAAUGUGUAUAAGGCUGUAGCCUUAGACAUUAUUUUGUUUAUGUACUAAAAUAUUUAUAACCUCCCUUUUCUAUGUGGCUACUAGGAUGGGGUCAAUUAUUAUUGUUAUUUCUUAAAUUUGUAUACCACCUUUUAUCUGAAGAUCCCAGGGUGGUUCACAAAAAAAGGAAAAUGAGAAUACAAAAUACAUAAUAAAACCAAAUCAGAAACAAAUCAGUAACACCCCCUCCUCCCACAAACACAUUUUAAAAACUAUAGAAUGUUAAUCAGCCAAACUCAUUGUUAAAGAGAUAAAUUUUCACCUGGUGCCUAAAGGUAUGUAAUUCAGGCAACCUCCCUUGGGAGAGCAUUCCACAAAUGGGGGCCACUACAGAAAAGGCCUGUUCUCGUGUUGCCACCCUGCAGACCUUUAAUGGAGGAGGCACAUGAAGAACAAAUAAUUCUGUUUCAGUUUCUUAAAAACUAAUUGCAAUAGUUUUUAAUCUACAUUUACUUGUAAAUGACUAAACAAUAGGCUUGGGGGGGGGGACACUACAUUUGUGAUGGCCCAUAUAAAUGCUGCAGUAGGAAAUAUCUUAGGAAAGGCAUAUGUGAGAGUGAAGGGAGACGUGUCUUCUAAGAUAGUGCCUACCAUUUUUGCUUUUUAGAAAUGAAAUUUUUAGAUCAGAGAUUCUCAGGCUUUCUACCCUGAGUUGGGUAAAAAUUACUGUGUCCCACCUGUCACAAAAUGGUGGCAUGUGUUGGCCACUAACAUCACUUUCUACUGUUAGCUAAUCCAUCUUAGAAAUUGUUUUAAACAUUGCCACAGUGUUUUCCUUGUGCAAGGAGUUCAUAGCUAAGCCUUGCCCGGGCACGGGCUCUUGGAGGUAUUGUAAACAAUUAAAUUAAUUUUGCAAAAAUCUUUUGAUGAAGCAGUUGAAUGCCAACCUAAUAGUUGGUGCCCUAAUAGUUGUGCAUAGUGAAUCUAGGUUUCUAAAAAUGAGCACUGAUCAGCGAACGUUUUGUUGGGAUGCCAUAGUGUGACAUUCCUAUUCACUGGCUUACUUAUAGGCUUGAUUUUAGCAGCUAUAGAUAUUGUAAGAUAUUGCCUGCGUUCAGCUAGUGAACCAUAUUACGCAUGAUAUGGAUACAUGCACACUAUACAGGAAGGCAAAAGAUAAAAGAUCAAUUCUUAUGGAUCCUGUAGUCAUGAGCUUUUUAAGGAUGAAUUACAGAAACUUUGUAAUUAUUGUGGGUAAUCUUGCAGAAAAUUAAAUCUUUGAGUUUUGCAUGUGUGAGGAAGUUUGGGCUACAUGGCUCACCAUAGCUUUGUGAGCUUUCUGUGCAGUUGGCUCCUUGGUUACCUGUCAGGCUUUUGUUUUAUUUAAUUUCACUGCAACUAAAAUGCUAUUCUUAAGCAAUCCAUGGGAAGCAACAUCAAACCCAAAUCCAGGUUUUCUUUUUUCCUUCCUGAAUUCAAAGAUAACACUGGUUGUUGUCUGCGUUUUUUCAGUUGAUUUAGGACGAAUCUGAUGCACUGAAUCCAAAAAUCACAUUGGUUUUGCUCAAUCAGGUCAAGUUUUUGAGCUAUGGCCACAUGUCUUUUUUAUGUUUUUGUUCACAUGUACGCUUGUGUGGAGCAUUUUAGAAGAAGUUGGUGGGGGUAAAAGGCCAUGUUGAAUAAUUGUUUUGAUUGGAAAUGAUUAUUUUAAUGACAAGAAGUAUUCAGGUGCGAUAGUUCUGGGUGAUUAUAUCGAAAAGGGAUCAGUUUGAAGUAAAAAAAAACUCCAUUUUUUCUCGGAAGAGAAGGACUUGGUGUACUGUGCAGAUAUUGUGCAGCUUCUGCUCAAGCUUGGAGUGCCACAGUACGAACCCAAAGAUUGGAGACUGUUCAUUGACAGCAGCAAGCGAUCACUGAAAUGUGUUCUGCUACACAACGGCAACCAGUUUGCCUCUAUACCCCUGGCUCACUUGAGUACACUGAAGGAGAACUAUGAAACGGUGAAGUAUGUGCUGGAGAAAACUGGUUAUGAUCAGCAUAAGUGGUUUAUUUGUGUUGACCUGAAGAUGGUGAACUUUUUGUUGGGACAACAGUCUGGCUUCACCAAGUACCCAUGUUUUCUGUGCAUGUGGGAUAGUAGGGACCGUGCUCAGCAUUACACGAAGAAGGACUGGCCUGUGCAGGAGGAAUUGGUGCCUUGCAAAAAAAGGAACAUCAUCAACGACCCUCUGGUGGACAGAGACAGAAUACUCUUCCCACCGCUGCACAUCAAGCUCGGCUUAAUCAAGCAGUUCACCAAGGCUCUGGACAAGGAUGGUGACUGCUUCACUUACUUGUGCCAGGCUUUUCCAGGAUUGACCAUGGAGAAGUUGAAAGCUGGCAUCUUUGACAGUCCUCAGAUCUGUCAGCUCAUCAGAGAUCCAGAGUUCAGAAACUCAGUGAACGAAGUGGAACUGGAAGCGUGGAAGGCAUUUGUUCUGGUAGUGAAGAACUUUCUUGGCAACAAUAAGGCCAGAAACUACGCAGAACUUGUCAACAACAUGCUGACUGCUUUCAGAAACCUGGGCUGCAACAUGAGCGUCAAGAUGCACUACCUAUUUUCACAUAUGGACCGGUUUCCUAAGAACCUGGGUUCAAUGAGUGACGAGCAGUGGGAGAGAUUCCAUCAGGACAUGAAAGAGAUGGAGACCAGGUAUCAGGGUCGCUGGGACGCAGUCAUGAUGGCUGACUACUGUUGGACUCUGAAGAGAGACCUCCGUGCUGCUGAGCAUUCCUGGAGUUCCAAGAAAUGGAAGUUCAAGCCCUGAAGUUUGAAAAAUGGUGAAGCAAGAUGCAAUUUACAUGUACUUACCUUUAUCAAUACCCACCAUUCAGUUUACAGUAAACCUGACCUGAUGGAGAGAAACGGAUGCCAUUUCCUGAUUCAGCAAUGCAAAAAUACCCUAAAUCAGUUGUAGAAAUCUAGACAACAUUGAAAAAGUAAAAAAUUGUUGCCCAGUGUAAUGUUUCUCAGAACGAUAAGUCUUUAAAAUUCUGGCCUUUUGAGGGUGGCUUUGGAACCUUGUUGAAGUUUGUAAGGGAAGAGAGAGAGAAUGCUCUUUGUUUCAUUUUUGCAUUUUGUUUUUUAUUAAUCUCUGAUACCAUGACUGAAUAAAAUAUAGAAUACAGGGAAGACUUUGGGGUCAUAUUUCAGUAACAUCUCAUUUUAACAUGGCAAUAGUAUUCUAAAUGGGGUGAGAGCAGAAACUCUGGAUUAUAAAUGCUGAUGAAAAGGCAACAUACAUUAAUAUGUGUGCAUCUUUAUCUUGUGUGUAUAUGUAUGUUAAUGCCAGUAACAGGGUUUAGAGGAAAAAACAUCAUUUUAACUAUAAUAUAUCAGUAGAAGCUUCUGACCUUAAUGUGUGGUGCAAUGUUUAAAAAUUAAAUUAAUGCUUCUAAUUGAAAUAUGGAGAUCUCUGACAACUAUACUUCCAAGGUAUUUACUGAAGACACCUUCAUGCUAGACAAGAUUUCAUUGUCUCUAUUCUAUGAUGUAUUUCCCUCCCAUAUUUACAUUUCUCAGCUGGUUGUGAAUGAAACCCAGAGUGGUGUGGUGCUUAAAGUGUCAGACUAUGGCUAUGGAGACUUUAGUUCAAAUCUCCCUCAGCAAAGAGGUGAUCUGGAGCCAAUCACUUUUUUUUAGCUUAAUUUUCCUCACUGAGUUGUGAAAUUUUUUUAAAAUAAAGGGAACCAUGUACAUCACCUUGACUUUCUAGAAGAAAGAUUUAUACAAAUUGUCUAAAGGCUCCAUAUUACCGAAGUGCAACAGUAUCUCAAUUUUUCAGGUUUACUUAGAAAUGAAUCUCAAUGGAGCUUAUUCUCUAGCAAAUGCAACCAUACAAUGCAAUCCCAGAGUGUUCAAUUGAGUUUACUCCCAAGCAAAUGUUCUCCCUGGAUCAGGGCAAUAGCAUGGGGCAAAUGGUUAAAGCUGCUUAGCCCCCACCAGGCCAUUAAUUAUGACUGCUCUCAUUUGCCUCCUGUUUAUAUAUAUAUAUAUAUAUUUAAAAACCAUUCACACAAUUACUGAUUGCACAAAUGAUGUCUCAUCAAGUACAGGCAUUAUUUCCCUGUAACCUGAUCCUAUAUGGCUAGAGAAUGGAUCUAAAUGAGGCAACCAUGUGGGUAUUUAUCUAUUUUAUCUAUGCUUAGUGUGUGUGUGUGAGAGUGCAUGCAUGUGUUGAUGUAAAAAUUGGGGUUUGGCUUAAAAGUCGCUUGUUUCUUUCUCCCCUUGGUUGGACAUCACACGUUUUCUCAAAAUUUGGAGCCCCGAACCAAAUUCUAAGUGUUUUACAUCAGUGUGAAGAAAAGAGGCUGAGUGUAAGCAAGCUAGGAUGGGCAAUUAAGAUUUUUCAUAAGCAGUACUGUGCUGCUUCCACUUUAGAUGGAAGCAGUACAUGAGGAUGAAGUCAAUAUAUUUGUAUCCUGUUAAAUCUAGGUUAUUUCCAGCCAUAGCAGUAUCUAUGCAAUGACACUUUUGUGUGUUUUCCCACAUCUCCCUUUGUGUACAUCUCAAUACUUAAAGUCAAACUAGAUGUUAAGUUAAACAGGCAGUUUGACUUUGAUUGUUUUCUUACUAGCUUGGUGGGUGGGUGGAUGGGCACCAGGAACUCUCCCUCCCUAACACAAAGUUGCUAUUUAUGUUGGGAGUCAAAAUUCUCUCCACACACAGACAUUUUGAGAGGGUGAGAAUUUUUUUUGGGGGGGGGGAACCAUAGUGCAGAAGGUGGUUAAACACACACCAUCACCAUGCCCCAGUCCCAAUCAUGAUUUCCCUCCAUUGCUAUCCAUUUACAAAAAAAGAUAAAUAUGCAUGACCUAACAUUUAACAUAACGUGUAAUUUGGUCCUAACUGUAAAAUAUUUGGUCCUUGAGCACUCCAGUUCUGGUCCCCCAACUCAAACUCACUUGAUACCCUCAACAUUUCAUUGCUCAGCUGCUCUCAAAAUUGUGUAGGUCCUGGCACAGGGCCUUUUCAAGCAUUGGAAGGUGUGUUUUUUUUAAAUGUUUCAUUUUCUUUUAAUUUGCAAACUAAUCUACAUUAUCAGUAUUGCCAGAGUAUGCAGAAAUAGUACCCUAUAUUUUGUUGUUGACGUCCCUUGUUUCACUUUCACAGAUACCAAAGUGGAAAAACAAUAAGAAACUUAAGAAUUGCAUUAGCAAUUAGUAUUCUGAGCAGCUUGAAACAAUAUGUAAAACAAUGAAACCAUACGUUCAUUACUCUGGACUUUUAGAAUCUUGAAAGAGGUUUGACAAGCUAUAUAUUUUUUUCACAACAUCAAAAACAACUCCAUUUCAGGCAUCUGAAAACAGAAUUAAUUUUGAAAGAGCUCCUUGGUGCCAAGAUGAGUCAUAUGCCUUAUGAAUGUUCUAGAUGUAAGGAGUUGGGCUGUCAUAGCCUUCUAUUUUGUAAUCUUGCCGCAUUAUUUGCUUGAUUGGAGGAUCAGCUGCUUGGACAGCUGUAGAGAUUCUUCCAGCUUGUAAUAGUGCAAUGUUGCAGAAUCAUGUGAUCCAAGAGUGACACGGCAGCAUCCACUGUGACAUUGCAAAGGAUCCUGGGAAGGCCUUUCUGGAUCAUGUCAAGCUUUAUUCACCUCCAUAAAAUAUUGCCAUAGUUUUUAAAGAGUGUUGGAAAUCAUUUGAAAAAAAUAAUCGCUUCCCGAUUAGGUAUGCAUACCCAUUUCUUUUGUCCUGUUGCCAUUUAUGGUCAAAUAUCAAAAGCUACGAAAACCUUUCAAGUAAUACAAAACCUCUGUGUUUUGUCGGGGGUAGGGUGGCAGAAACAAGGGCAGCUCUACAAACCUGAUUUCCAUGUGUGCUUCUCAAUGCAGGAUAUUGCUGCAUGCAGAAAAACAAUGCAUCCUUCAUGGCUGUGAACAGGUGCAUUGCUCCACUGCUUAACAUGUAGUAUAUAUGACGUGCAUGUAUAGGCACAAUUUAGGUAAACAGCCUCCUCUGAACUCAGUAGAACAUGCCUUCCAGUUGGAAACAGUUAUUUGGCUGUGAUCAGUGUGCCUGCCUCCUGCAGCUUUGGAAUAUGAAACUGCUCUUGUGCAGGAGUGUUUGAUGUGUGAGCAAGUCCGAGUUGAAGCCGGUGUCUUUAAAACAGUAUUUGCAAGGUGUUUUGAACUGUACAAGUGAAAGGCAGUGUACAAAAUGAGGAACAUUUCUUUUACUUUUCAUAUUUGAGAGUUCAUGUACUGAGAAAUCCAUGUUCAGCCAUACAAAACUUCUGAGUAUCCAUUCCAACGUGGUUGUCUUCCAUAAAUGAUGUGUUAAUGAGGAUAGAGUAGAGGUCAUGAGCCUGCAAGUAUGUGUGAAGCUAUGAUGAGCUUAACCUACCAGGUGAAAGAAAGGUUAGUAUACCAACUGCAUGCACACUUCAAAGCAUGUGGCUAGUUCACUGUACUAACCUAAUUAUCUGUGCUAUAGAUACUUUUGACAAACAUAUCUAUAGCCCAGAUACAUUUACUUCACAGUGGGAGAUAUCGGAGCCCUUCUGUGUUCAGUUGCCAGUUUCCUGAAUCCAGUAUUUUGCUUUUCUUUCUCAGGCUUUCUCUCUUAGCUUUUCAAGGACGACUCCUCCUAAAUUCAUUUAAUGUAUCAUGUUUGUUUUCUUGAUAAAUGUUUAAGAUACAGCAAUUCUUGAACCACCACAUCAUUGCGCUACAGACUGUGUAACUAAAUGGGUAGAUUCUUAUUUGAUACUUUCGUUAUCCUGUGUUUCUUUGGGAUAUUUAGGUCAGCCUCUUGAUGAUGCCCUGCAUGUAGCAAUUACAAAAAGGAAGAACUUGAAUUAAGAUAUGUGGGUUCCGGAGAUUUCCAAAAUUUGGAGCCUCUGCGUAGACAUCCUGUAUCUGCAGAAUGUCUGGAAUUGUUCUUAUACUGUAUACACAAACAAUCCUAGCCACCUCCAGAUAAAUGCCUACUUGUGCAAACACAGUUUAUGAAGGAGGUGGUUAGUUUUAUUUUCCCCAAGUUACUGAAGUAUGUUGUGUUUGUAAACAAUAAAGAUAAUACCUAGAUUCUCUUUAAGUACCUUAUGGAAGUGACUUUAAGCACUUUAUUCUUGCUUUUAUGUAAGAAUUCAGAGAUGUGUGUAUGGCUGAGAUAAAUAGGAGACUAUAUUAGUGAUAAGGAUGUGGGUGGCGCUGUGGUGUAAACCACUGAGCCUUGGGCUUGCUGAUCAGAAGGUCGGCGGUUCGAAUCCCUGCGACGGGGUGAGCUCCCGUUGUUUGGUCCCAGCUCCUGCCAACCUAGCUAUUUGAAAGCACAUCAAAGUGCAAGUAGAUAAAUAGAUACCGCUCCGGCGGGAAGGUAAACAGCGUUUCCGUGCACUGCUCUGGUUUCGCCAGAAGCGACUUAGUCAUGCUGGCCACAUGACCCGCAAAAAAUGUCUGUGGGCAAACGUCGGCUCCCUCAGCUAGUAAAGCAAGAUGAGUGCCGCAACCCCAGAGUUGUUCAUGACUGGACUUAACUGUCAGGGGUCCUUUACCUUUUAUAUUAGUGAUAGUUACUUUUAAAGUGCUUUGUGUAUGUGUUGCAGGUAAGGUAAGUUUCUUAUGACAGCGAUACCAGUUUUAAUUUAAGGCUUUAGUAGUCCCAAGCAUUCUUUCUUGGAAGCAGGUUCCAUUGAACUCAACAAUUUCAAAGAAAAUUUGGUUGGGUUUAGGGUAUCUAAAACUCAGUUGUCAGGUGUCAUCUUGGUUACACUAGUGUAAAUCAUUGCCAUGUUGUUGGUGUUACUCCAAACUUCCACGAAUUGAACCUAACAAUGUUAAAACUACUUUAAGUCUUCAGGAUUUGAUUUGAAGUUGUGGCCUAAAUAGUUGACUAUGAUAAGAAGCAUGUGAUAAAAAAAUCCCAGUUUUUCCAGCUCUUUCUAUAUUACUCUUUUUUCUUUCUUUUUUGGCAUCAGAAAAUAUUCCAAGAAGGCCUGAAGACUGUUUCCCUCCCUCUUUUUGUUGCUCUCUUUUUCAGAUAGAAUUCAAUAAAGGAAAGGCUGUGGUGUAAUAAUUCCUACAAGCUUUCACAGUAUCUUUUGGGGGAAAGGGUACUGACCUUUUCCUAUUGUUAAUAAAAAACCUUCACAGUCUUGUCUUUGCUUUUUCUGUAAUACUGCUUCCACUUUAUUCCACACACCCCUCAAAUGGUUGAGGAGUGCCUGUGUCUUUCAUAGACAUCAGAUUAGAAAAGUGGGUGAAAGUAAGUAAGUCUAGCUCCUGGGCUUGAUUAUUCUCUUAUCUGUAAGGGUGUACCUGAAGGAAGGACAAUAUCCUCCAUAAUGUAUUAGUUUGUGUAGGUAAUACUAGCUGGGUGAAGCAACACAAAUGCCUUGUGAUCUGUUAAUGUUGCCAUAAGGUGUGCAGAAAAGGUUAAUAACAUCAGUAAUUGAAUGGCAAAAAAGAAUUGAAGGGCAAAUUUGGUACUUUAGUUGCAUAUGCACACCUUCUCUUAGCUUCAGGUUAAUGAGAGACACAUGCAUGCUCCUCUGGGAAGCACUGGUUUGUUAGGAAACAUCACAAUCAGAAGGUGUAUUCAUAUACUCUGCCACCCAUCCCCAUUGAGCAUCACAGCUAGCCAUCACAGGUCUAAAUACACCCUUGUACGAAUGUGAUAUGUGUUGUAGCAACUAUGGUGAAUAUCACUAUUUAUUUAUUUAUUUAUUUAUUUAUUUAUUUAUUUGAUCCAGUUUAUAUACUGCUUGAUUGUAAAAGACAUCAAAGCCGUUCUAGAUAUCUGAAUGCUAACAAUCUCAGAUUACUUUUGCGAAUGUCUGAAAAGUCUUUUCUAUUCUUUUGGACAUGCACAGGUAGAGUAUGUACACCUUUUUAAUGUGUCUGUCUGCUUUCAUUGUUGUACAUCUUGUGUCUUUAGGCAUGGCCAUUUCCUGUAUAACACCCCUACUACCCAAGUAUGCUACAUAAUAUAUGUCCUUUUUCUGCUGAGGGGCUAAUCUGUAAAGGGAGUGCAUGUCAGCUGUGCAUGAGGCUGAAGCUAUUGCUGGGUGGAGCCAGAUUCCUCCUCUCUUUUCUGGCACACAAAUUUCUCUCUGCCUUUCCCCCCAAGCCCAGGUGGUUGCUGGGAAGAAAAAGACUUCCUAGCUAGAGGCCUAAAUUGAUGGCUUAUAGAGAGCUUUCAAAAUUGGGCCAAGAGCCAUGUGAACCUGUUUUGCUUAUGCUCCGCUCUGGUAUUAGUCAACAUGUGCCCUCCAGAUGGGACUAUAACUCCCAUCAUUUCUGACCACUGGCCCUGCUGAUAGCGGCUGAUGGGAGUUGUAGGCCAACAACAUCUGGAGGGCACCACAUUGACUACCCCUUUUGUACUCUACUGAUGAUGUAGCCGUAUAGUAUGGGAAAGUAACCAUGGUACAGGUUUGGAUUUAUGCCAGGGUAGGCAGAGUCCUAUACAACCUUAUUUAAUUUUUUUAAGUCUACAAUGUCAGGGCCACCAACUGGAGCCAGUCCCAGAAUGGAAGACCAAAUGGCCACAGAAAAUUGUGUACACGUGCUUACUAAUUUUCUCCCACAGAGCAAUAUCCACACUUCAUCAAGCUACUACAGCUCAACCUAACACAAUCCAUAUGGCAACUGUGUGUGUAAAGCUUAUAGCUAGAAUUAAAAGCAUGUGAAGAACAAUUGACUCGAGGAGGUCAGCCCAGCUGCAGAUAUAUAGCAUGUGACAUAUAUCACACAAGCACAUAUUCAGCAUAUAAGUAAAGAAGAGUAUAUGUAUGACUUUCUACAACAUAUAUACAUAGAUGGGGAAUGCUGAAGCAGAGAUUAGUCCCAAGAUCAAUCAGUAGCUCCAUUAUAGAGAACUCUAAAUAUAUGUAGAACAGAUAGCUUAAGAAAUUGGUUCCAACUGCAGCCUAUUUUACUAGUUACAGCUCUGCAUUAUAUGUGGUGAUGGAAUUAAGAUGUGUGCACAGGAGAUGAUGCCUUUGUCUACUGGUAUUGCAGAAAUGAAUUUUGUGUUUUAGAUGAUGAUUGUCGGGUUCAGGUUGGUUCAUAUGGGGAGAGGCAGUUCUUGAGGUAUUGUGGUCCUGAACCGUUUAACACUUUAUAGGUCAUAACCAGCACUUUGAAUUUGGCCUGGAAACUAAAUGGCAGGUGGUGCAGUUGGGUCAGAAUCAGUGCAAUAUGAUCAAAUCUUCUUACCCCGGGAGCAACCUGGUUGCUGAAUUCUGCACCAGCUGAUGUUUUCGAACCAUCUUCAGAGGUAGCCCUACAUUGUGUACAUUGCACAUUUUAUACCCCUUAAUUUAAAAACAACAACAACCCCCCAAAUUUAAAAACACACAAGUUAAAAAGCAGAUAAAACCAAUUUAAAACAAUUUGGGCAAUAAUAACUGCCACAGAACAACACCCCCCCCAAGAAAACCUCUGCACAAUCCCCCAACCCAAGAGUCUUUUCAGCCGCCUUAGCUGGAGUCAGUCUGUGCAACGCCUUCCCAGGCCAGAUGGAAAAGGCCUGCAAGGCAGGGAGCAGGUCUUUGUGACUCACAGCCAAGACAGGAUAAAGAAAAGCAAAACACAAAAAAUAAAAAGCAAUGGUUCCAUAUCAUGUUUGCAUUUUUAAUCUUCUUCAUUUGCAUGUUGUACAAUGCACACACACCCAUGACUAUUUGUGCUUCUUUGUCUUUUGGGUACUGUAUUUGCUGCAAGGGUGGGGGGGAGUAAUAAUUAUGACUCGACCUUGUUCUAACUGCGUUACCUCGCUUGUGGUCCAAGACUGGGUGGGGGUGGGAGUAAGCACCAGAAUGCCACCUGUUUAUUUUUGCCUAUAAACCUCUUUUGGCGGUGCCAACUGUUCUCAUGAGGGGCUUGCUGCACAGAGCAAUGUGUUCCAAAAUCUGUUGAAGGGGAGCAUUAGUAGAACAAAUGACUCCUUUGUUAAUUUUUUAAAAAGCAACUGGAUGUUGUUUUGGUGACUGCUAGAACAUUAUCCUUUUCUUUUAGAAUUAUUUGAGUAUAUUUACUAAGACCUAAUGCAUUUCUUAAUUCGAAUACUAUUCUAAAUUAUUGCUUGUGCUACCAAUUCCCUGAAGGAAAUAUUCCAGUCAGGUGACUUAAAAGUAUUGCUUAAUACUGACCUUGAUAGGAGGCAGGGAUGGAAUUCUGGCUAAAAGAUUAGGUAGCCUACACAGAUGACAGAAAGUCAUGGUACUUGUGAGCCAUCACUCACUGUUAACUGCAGUGGCCAAACAUCCAUGAAUGUGUGUGUGGACACCAGUAACACUAGAUAGCUGGACCCAGCCUUUAAGAUAACUAGGUGUGCUGGGUCUGCCCUGAAUUCUACCCCUUGAGACUCUAUAUAUUGAAUUUAGGCUGCAGUUGUGUACCCAAUUAAACAAAUCAACAAACCCCAUUGAACACAAUGGCAUUUCCUGCUGAGAAGACCAUGUAUAGGAUCGAGUUCUUAUAUCCUGCUCUUCUUCAAAGAGACAGAGUGGCUUACAUAUAUAUUUCACAGGUGUGUGCUCGUUCAGGCUGUGUACAAGGCCAGACCAGCUUACUUUGCCUUUAGGAAUAAAAUAGCAUUUUUGUCUUUAGACCAUUCUGCUGGCUAAGGCUGGCUAAGGCCUGACCAGAGUUUCCAGAAAUUACAUAAACAGCUUAUAGCUGCUGAGAUAUAAUAGAUUUAUUAUAUCUCCAUUUAUACUCCACCCUCCAAACAAGUAAUCAGGAAGGUUAAAAUAAAACAUUAACCCACAAUAGAGCUGCAGACAUUGCAUGCAUUUCUCUUCUGCUCUCUUUCUACCCAGGAACACUGUAUUAUCUUGUGUGUCUCCCAGAUUCAGACUCUUACAGUAUAGGCACUCAUGCUUUCCCUUGCACACAAGAAUACCUAUCACAAGUAGGUUGCUCCAUUAGUUUCAAUGAAGAGAGAGAACACAGUAAAGAAGUUGGCUUUUGCUCUUGAAAUGAAUGAAGAGGAUUUAAUGUAUAGCAAAGCCCUGGAAUGAGGUAUGUCCCUUUCUUUGAGGUUAGUUGAGAUGGGGACAUGUGGGUCUCCAGAUGUUGUUGAGCUGCAAGUCUUAUCUCUGACUAUUGAGCAUGCUGGUUGGAAUGAAUGGAAAACAGAGUGCAAGAACAUGUGUGCGGGGGGGGGGGGAGCGGCUUCCCAGUCUUAUCUACAGAAAUUGACCACAUGUUAUUAAGGAUUUUAUUUCCCACUUGAAAAAUAUGUGAACUCUCUUGCUAGUUUUGCAACUUAAAAAAAUGUAAUGAAGCCAAUUGACCACAACCCUUUCCUUCUGUUUCAUGUGGGUACAAAUGAUCCCCCUUUGAUCUGAGGGGUCUGGAUAGGUCAGUUGGCUAGAGCAUGGUGCUGGUAAUGCCAAGGUUGCAGGUUCAAUCCCCAUAUGAGACAGCUGCAUAUUCCUGCAUUGCAGGGGGUUGGACUAGAUGAUCCUCAGGGUCUCUUCCAACUCCACAAUUCUAUGAUUCUAUAUAGCAAGGGAAUAUAAGACUCUGGGAAGGAAGCUGAAUGACCAUCAUCAAAUAUCUAAAGGGCUGUCACAUGGAAGAUGGAGCAAGCUUGUUUUCUCCUGCUCUGGAGGGCAGGACCCAAACCAGUGGUUUCAAGAAGAUUCUAGCUAAACAUCAGGAAAAACUUUAUGAUGGUAACAGCUGUUUGAAAGUGGAAUGUACUCCCUCAGAAGGUGGUGGACCUUCCUUCAUUGGAGGUUUUUUAGCAGAGGUUGGAUGGCCAUCUCUCAUGCAUGCUUUAGUUGAGAUUCCUGCAUCGUAGGGGACUAUAUGGACUAUAUGACCCUUGGGGUGCUUUCCAACUCUACAAUCCUAUGAUGCUAUGACUGUGGGACCCUCAGAAUAAAUUUUAAUAAAACUUUGCUAGUAAAUUUUAAGAGAAAACAAUGGAAGCUUGAAAUGUGCAUUAGAUCCCUGUCUAUCGUUUCUUCCUGAGAUCCAGUGCCUUUUAAAUUACUGCAGGAAGGAACUCUGGAGUCGAUGUAAUCAUUAACUGUCUCACCUUCUGGUUGUGACAAGUGAUGAAUCAGCUUGAACUUGCCUGGAGCUUUCUUCAGGACAAUACCCAUAGGGGAAACCCUCAUAUGCUCAAGCAGAGCGUUAUCAAAUGGCCCCAGUAUUCUUCCCCAAGUGCCAGAAGUUCUUUUCUAUCUUGUCUCUAACCACCUGAGGACAUAUAAGUGCUGAUCUCAGCUUCUUAGCCAACACUUGCAUCUUGGGGCCUAUGUACAAAACAGCAAAACCCUCAUCGAAAUUAUUACGCAGCAAUAGGUUCUCUCCUCUUUAUUCUCCCCCUCCCUUCCUCUUGUCAGACUGUUUCUACAGCAAAACAUUUUAUGUGCCCUCAUUGGAGUUUAUGCUUUUUGCAGGCCCCGUUAACCAAUCUUUGGCUUUUUCCACUGUCUUGCUUUGAUUUGGAUGACUGCUCAAAGCACCUGCUAAUGGCCUGGAGCAUUCAUGCCUAAAUUUGCAGUUUCUGUAGCACUUUCACUUGGCUGGUUAGUACACAGCUAGUGAAAUGCUGUAUGAAGCACCUGCUGCAUUAUUUGAGAGUAGCUUGUUUGCUUUCAAUUCAUUGAUGGAAGCAUCCUACAAAGUUGUUUUUUUUGUAGUUCCUUAGAGCUGCUCCACAAUUUUACAAGGAGAGAACAGUGUAGGGAGGGUGAAUUGUUAUGAGUGACAUUCUUUACACACCCUCAGAUAUUAUUUGAAAAUGAAGCCUAUGCUUCCAGUGCAAGAAUGGCUCAUACAUCUCCCCACAGUGUUUCCGCUUUUGCAUAAAUAUCUGGAACUGUAGGUGUUUCAAUCACUUGAACAUCUUCAUUUACUGCUUCUAACUACAAGAACCUAUACUGAUGCAUUUGGAUUGUUUAUUUAAGAUGUUUAGGCUGAUUUUUUAGGGCCAAACUUUAUAAGGUGGCUUCCAACAUACAGAAUGCCUAGAAUACAAUCAGCACUCAAAUUUAACCAUAAAAACCCAUAAUACAACAAAUGAACUAAAAUAAUAUAUCUAUUAAAAACAGUAUUGAUAAACAAUUGUGUUAUUUUGCUGGGUUGUAAUUAUCGAUUAAAAUAGUUCAAAAAUGUUUUGGUACCAAAUCAAACCAGCAGCAUGAUACCUUUUAAAAAAUACAGUUCUAAAUAAAUGGGUUUUUAAGGCCUACCUAAAAGCCUGUAAUGAUGGGUGCAUAUAGACUUCAUUCUACAUUUCUGUCCCCAAUUUGUACUGAGUUGCUCAUUAUUUAGUUUUUUAAUUACAUUGUUUGAUGAGUUCCCAACUACUUACAUAAAUUUUGCUGUUUACUUUUGGGAUUAAUCUUGCUACUAUUGGUGUUCCUUGUUUCUAUACUUAUUAAAACAAAGGUCUCAGAAUGCAUAAUUAAUAGUGGAUUAAAGUACCCCUUAACUAGUGAGAAACAAGCAAAGUGAACAGUAUGCAUAGCCCGUAUACAGUUGUCUGUCUUCUUUCAUUUCACAGUUAGCAUUUUUGUGGCUUGUCUUUUCCCAGAAAUACUAGUCUCUGAAGUAGUGUUAAGCAUAAGCUUACUGCUAGAUUAUUUAUGCCUAUAAUGCCUGCCAAGGCCAUUACGAGAGGGAUCAUACUCUUUUUGACCAAGCUGUAUUCUCCAUUGCUCUUAUGUCAUACUGUGCUGCCUACCACAUGAAUAAAAUUCCAUUAGGAGAACAAAGGAAAUCAUUCAUUAGCAAUGUAAUAUUUAGUCUAAGAUGGCUGCUGCAUAUUUGUUCAUUCAUAAUAAACUUGUCUGCUUUUGCAUAAUAUGAAAUUUUUUCUUUCAGCAUAAUUUUUUCUAGUUUCCCCCCGAUUUCCUAGUUCUGGUACAGAUGUUUUCUGCUUUGGCCCACUGUUUCUUCUGCCUGAACUCGUGCAUGUGCAUGAAGCAGCCAUUCAGUGACAUACAGAGACAUUCAUGCUCCCCUGCCUCAAUCUUACUAAUGUUGCAUCUCCUUCUGCCUCCUUAUGAUUGUUAGUUGGACAGCUAAUGAAGCUGGAUGGUGGGAGAUUUAUACUGUAAUCAACAAAAGGAAAUACCUUUACCCACGUAGGAUAGAUUAAAUUAUGAAAUUUGCUGUCACAGAAUAUGGUAAUAUCUUGCCACCAGCUUAAAUAGUGUUAAAGGAGGAUUAGACAAAUUCACGGAAUAGAAGCCUCUCAGUGGCUAUAUGUUUUCCUCUUAAGUUCAGAGCCACCAGGCCUCUGAAUACCAGUUGCUGGGUAACAAUAGCAGGAUUGACGUAUUACAUUCAUACCACCUUGCAGGCUUUCUGGGGGCAUUUCUGUGGGAAAUAGGAUGAUACUUAUGAUCCAACAGAGAUAGUCUUACAUUUUGGACAGGUUCUCAGCAUUUUAUAUUUUUCCACUAAUGGGAGACCUUCAGAAAUAAUGGCCUCUGACUAUCAGCCAAAUACACCUUUAUGCAUGAAACAAAUGGAAAGUUUGAGACAUUGUUACUGUAUGCUGCUGUGCCAUAAAAAUUUUAAAAGACUCUAUCUACCUGUUGACAAAUGGAAGGGUAAAGUUUGUUUCCUUUGCUAUCUGUUUUGGAGAAUUCCAUAUUGAAAAAAACAUGGCAUAAGUUUCAAAGAAACUAUAAAAUAUUUUGGGCUGUUAUCUAGUGUUAGUCAUACAUAGAGUAGAAUUAUUGAAUUUAAUACAGUAGACAUGGUUAACUUGGGUUUACUCUGAGAAGAACUUGCAUACAAUCCAUUGUCCCAGGGUAAUCAAAAGUUUUUUCACAUUUAGGGAUACACAGCCCUUCUCUAGUGAACUGCUUCAUAUUCAAUGAAUACAACAGUUAUCACAUAUAUGCAUUUUGCAUGCUUUGGAAACAAAGAUUGGAUGCAGCUUCAUAGUCCACUGUACAUAUGGAAGCAAAAUACAUGAUUAUGUGAUCACAUAUAACAGUUUACACAUGGCUGCAUGCUACAACUUAAAGAGAAGUUAUUUCUGUGAAGGAAUUCUGCACAUUUGAAACCUGUCCGAUUUACUUUAAUUUAGAAUGCAUUCCUAUUAUCUUUACAAUUUGUUGUUUGAAAUAAAGUGGGGCUGGAAUUGAUUUUAAAAGGGGAAGCUACCAAAGUAUCUGUCAAACAAAACAAUUUGCAGUAUAUAUUUUAGCCUGCUGGAUCUUUGAAAUGUAACUGCAUCGGCCUACUUGGCAAAAAUGUUGUUUGAAGACAUAUUGCGUUCCACGAGCAAAUGGAAAAAAUGGGCACCUGUCAUCAUAUUUAGAAAACAGCUGGGCAACCUGGCCAAGUGCCACAGUCUCUUUUCACAUGGCCUUUAUGCUGAAAUCAUCCCAGCUCCAUUCCUAGCACUGAAGAAACUCAAUGCCUUUAAAUGGUUACAGAAAUUCAGGAGACACCUCUCGUUGCAAUAAAGUUUACUUCAGAUACUCCUAAUUAGUAAAUUGUACCACACUUUUGUAGACCAACUGCUGUUCUUAUGUAGUGAGGUGGAAGAUUGCUGUCACCCAGCCUCUCAUUUCUAGAGUGUAAAUUCCCCUUGCCCUUUCCCUGCCAGCCAUUGCUGCUGCUAAGCAUUGCAUUUGUUGGCACCAAUGGUAAUAAAGGUGCCUUUAGAUGAGUGGUGGGGAAACCUGUUCUUUCAGGAAUCAUCUUUCAGCAGUCACAUGCUGGAAGUGGGUAGGGUCAGAGCCAAAAGUGGGCAGGACACCCAAUUUCUCUUUUUGUCACCCCCUUUUCUCUCUUUGCCACUUGCAUGAAACUGGACCGACAGUCGCAUGUGAGCUGCAAGUUGUUAGCCUUUGCUUUAGAAACUCAUCCAUCUGUAUGACUACUUACCACACAGCAGAUAGUUAAACUGCAGAACUCACUCCCAAAAGACGCAGUGAUGGCCACCAACUUGGGUUACUUUAAAAGAGGAUUAGACAAAUUUGUGGAAGUUAAGGGUAUCAUUGGCUACUAACCCUGAUGGCUGGGUCCUGGUUCCACUACUGGAGGCAGUAUGCUUCUGAAUAACAGUUUCUGGAAACUGCAGGAGUGUUGUUGCAAUCAGGCCCUACUUAUGGGCUUCCCACGGGCAUCUGGUUGGCCAGUGUGAGAGCAGGAUGCUGGAGUAGGUGGGCCACUGGCCUAGUGCAACAGGCCUAAUGUGUGGCCAGCUCUUGCUUGCUUGAGAUAACUUUAAGUGGCCCACAUUUAUGUGGGUCUUUACCAGAGAAUCUGCAUCCUGCAUAGCACCACCUCCGUGGAGCAGGGGGGCGGGAACCCAUGCAGCUGGGACUUCCCAUAUGGCUGAAACACUUAGAUGGUCUCCUAGUUGCAUGGGAAUUCCUUGUGGAAAAGUGGCUUCUACCUGGCUGGGGAAACAUUUAAAGGCACCCCAAUUCCCGCUUAACCAGAGUAUGUCGCUGAUUAGCAAGCAUGAUUAAGAGAUGCCUUAUUGGUGAGACUGCACUGUAGAAGUGAGGUGCAAUGGAGAACGUUUAACAUGUACAAAAUCUACAUAUUUUGUUUAUAAACAUUUAAUUACUUUGAAUUAAAAUUCAAUUUAGGAUCCUUUCAUAGCUGAGCAUUUUAAGCAUUUUUUAAAAAGCUAUUUUCAUUCCAAGUAAAAGGCUCUAUUGAACUUGGUUGCUGAUAUCCUAAUUUCCUAAAUACAGGUCAAAAUAGGUAAGCUGGUGGAGAUUAGCAAUUGUCAUGCUUAUUUGGAACAAAUGGGAUUACUAAAAAAGGAAUAUAUUUUGUAUCGUGUCUUAUGCUUACUGUACUUUUUAACUGAAUAAAAAGAUAAUCUGUUUAGAAGUUUAGUAUCUUCAAAGUCUUGCUUUCCCCAGGUCUCUUUCUAAUACAAUUAGCACCAUGCAUAGUCAUUGCUUCUGAGGGCAAGAUGGACUGAGCUCAGGAGAGCUGAACCGUAUCCUGAAAUGACACAAACAAAUCUCUUCCCUUUGUUGUAUUCUCAUUGAAGUGCAAGGGAUGAGUAGAUGGAGUUUGUGUUAUAACUGCCAACUUUAGUAUUUGUUUCCUGAGUUGGGUUUUAGGAGAUUCUUGAGGACUUUAAAAUUUUAUUCUGGUUGCUACUUAAAUGAACUUAGGUCUGUUUUGAGCUGCUGCUCAAACACUUUAUAAUAUUUUUGUUGGUAAUUUUUGGUGUUUUAAUGUGUUGUGAACCACUUUGGGAGGGGUAGUCCUGAAAGGUGGCAAAAUAAACAAGAGGACAGCCCCCUUCUGCAUAAGAAAUACUCAGGGGGGGCAUUAAAAAUUUAUGCCAGCUGCAUUAGGAUGCUGCUUGCUCCUGUUUUAAUAUAUUAAUGUUUUCUAUUAUUUGUCAGGAUAUUGUUGUUGUUUAUGGUUUUGACUUUAAGUAAACUAUUGUUUUUCUUUAAUGAAAUAUCAAUAAAAUGAAUAUUUAGCAACUGAACUAAGCAUAUAUGAAUAUAUUAAACUGCCUUGUGCCAAGUAAUAUGAUGGAUCCACCCAACUAAAGUAAUAAAUACAAUUUUAAUAUAUUUAUUAAAGCAUUCUCUUCUAUCAUGGAUAUCUAAAACAGCAAGGGAAUAAACAGUCAUGUUUUGUUGCUGGUAGUAGUUUUUUUGUUCUUCGAUUAAAAAAAAUAUUUCUAGAAAGUCCAAAGCAUUAUGAUAUCAGAGUUUAAAUUCUGAAGGCAGGUAGCUCACAUCUCAGAAUUACUACUAGGUUAAUCAUCGUUGGCUUCUCUCAUGUAGUUAAACCUUUUGGAAGGUUCCGUUUCUCUUUCUCACUCUCUCUUUACAGUUAACUGACUGACCUUCUAAUUUUAGCAUUGAAGAAUUAUAAUUAGAAAUAUUUCCAUAGUUGUUUACAAACACCGCCACUCAGUCACAGUAUGUGUCUGCAAUUUUAGAAGGACUCUGUUAUCACCUCUAGAGUGGGGUGAGAGGGCAUUUCAGUUCUUUUCAGCUUAUUCAGUUGAUGGACACAAUGAAUGUAUUGGGGUGGGGGAAGGAGAACUACUCCCAAACCCUUUUAAGAUAACCUGCAUAUGCUGUGACCAUUUUACAUGUCUAAUUUCAAACAAACAAACAAACCAUAUCUUCUUUGGCGAUCACUCGUAGCUGAGUAAGAUUGUCUUCCAUGAACAUGGUCUGAACAGUGAGUCUGUAAGUGACUAUAGAGGCCAAUUCUGGAUCCACAUAUCCUUCCACAGUGUGGACAUAGGUUUCCAGGUUCCUUUCAUCCUGAGUUUGAGCAUCUUCAAAGUCCAUGAUACCUUGGGUAAAGGCUGUUCUCCAAUUGGAGUGUUUGCAGGCCAGUGUUUCCCAAUUGCUGGUGUUUAUACUACAUUUUUAAAGAUUUGCCUUAGGAGAGUCUUUAAAUAUCUUUUGUUGACCACCAGCAUUACACUUUCCAUUUUUAAGUACAGAAUAGAGUAGUUGCUUUGGAAGACGAUAAUCGGGCAUCUGAACAACAUGACCAGUCCAACAAAGUUGAUGUUGAAGAAUCAUUGCUUCGACACUGGUGAUCUAUGAUUCUUCCAGUACACUGGCAUUAGUUCGCCUGGGUUCCCAAGUGAUGUGUAGAAUUUUUCGGAGACAAUGUUAAUGGAAUUUUUCAAGGAGUUGGAGUGGUGUUUAUAAGUGGUCCAUGUUUCACAAGCAUACAGUAAGGUUGGUAGUACAAUAGCAUUUUGGUUUCCCUGUGAAUGUCCCAGUCCUCAAACACUCUGCACUUCAAUUGGGAGAAAGCUGCACUUGCAGAGCUCAGGUGAUGCCUCCCAUGUUGCUUUUGCUGAGUUAGUAGCACCAAAGUGAUCUCUGGGGCACAAGCCUGGGCAGUGUGUUUGGAGGUCCUGAGCUCCCCAGAUGAAAACAUCCCCCUUCUCAGCUUCACUAAUGUAGUCCAAAGGAAAGGAAAGCAAUACAUUUGGUACCAGCUUGGCUGUAGGAGUUGCCAGAAGGAGGUGUACAAGAAACCAGCCACCUCAGGGACUCCACUCUAGAUUUGUGUAGGGUUUAUUCCUUAGCCUUUCUUCUCUUGCAGAUGCCCUUCGAGGCAGUAGAUACAAAUUUUUCCUUGGGAUUUAUUCACAAAGCCUUUAGAAUCAGACUUUUCCUUCUGCUAGAGAGCCAGUGUGGUGUAGUGGUUAAGAGCGGUGGUCUCGUAAUCUGGGGAACCGGGUUCGCGUCUCCGCUCCUCCACAUGCAGCUGCUGGGUGACCUUGGGCCAGUCACACUUCUUUGAAGUCUCUCAUCCCCACUCACCUCACAGAGUGUUUGUUGUGGGGGAGGAAGGGAAAGGAGAUUGUUAGCCGCUUUGAGACUCCUUAAAGGGAGUGAAAGGCGGGAUAUCAAAUCCAAACUCUUCUUCUUCUGCUAGAUGGGCUACCUUCCCAGCUGGAUGAGCCCCAUCUGCCCCUCACUUCCCCUCUACAGCACGUGCAGUAACUGCCUUCUUGACCAUUAGACCCAUUAUUGGUCUUGCCUGCUCAAUCCAUCAAUCCUGUCUUCACAUGCAGGGGAUGUCCCUAAGUCACUGAGGGUUUGAGACUCAUCAGGUACCUUCACCUGGUUUAGCCAGCCAGUUGAAGCUGUUUCCUAGGGUGUGCCAGCUGUUGCAUGCUGACAGCUUCUAGGAGCCACAGGUGAGAGCUGAGUGUAGGAUGAGGACGAAAGGUGGACAUACUACCCCAGAAGGAGCAUGACUUGUUCCUCACCAGAGCUGCUACCCCUCUCCCAACACCCUAGAGGAGAGGGAGGACUUUAGAAUACAGUAGAAGUUUUUUUUCCAGAAGCCUUUUUCCGGAAGCAAAAUUUUACUUUGGACACUAUGGGUUUUGUGCUAGAUUUCAGUGGCAUUACUUUGGAGGGAAUGGUGUAGUAAUAGAUCAAAUGACUCAGAUUUGGUUUCUGGGAUCUCAGUUAAAAUGGGAUCCAAAGAAGAGGAAUUGUAAAUCAGCCAGGGUUGCAAUAAGCAAUAUUUUCCCCUUUCUUUCUUCAGUUUCUGAACUUUUUCCAUCUGGGAAGGCCUUGCUUAGAUAAGGGCAAACAUAUAUAUUUGUGGAGCUAUUUUUUAUGGGUUUGCAAGCCUUGGUAUCAUGUAGGAGGACCUACAAAUUAUCUUAACAAAGAUUUUCAGAAGACAUAGCUAAGGUGCGAAGAUAUUAAUUAAAAUUAAUGGGCAUGUCUUUAGACGUACCUGAUUGCUUUGUGCUUACUUCGGCAUUUGUAAUAUCAUUUGAAAUAUAUUUUACGCAAUCCCAAAUAGUUAUUGGAAUGCUUGAGACAAAGUACAUGCUAUAAAUGUUUCUUCAUAUGCUUGAGUCCAGAAAGGCAAUGUACAGAGCUACAGGUGAGAGUGGUGAGAGCAAAGAGUGGUUAUUAAGUGUCUUCUUAAGCUGACCUUUUGUUUAUAGAUGUACACCCCAUUCACCAUGAAUGCCAAGUCAAACAUGAAUAUUGGUAAAGUAGCAAGCUCGUUUGUCAGAUAUACAGAAAACUAUUCUUACUUCUUUUGAGCAGUUUGGCUUUUUUUCAACAGAUGGGAUGUUUUUACAGUAGAGCUAAAGUGAAAAGUAAACACCACUAUAUGCUGCAAGUAGCAAUAGCUGAAAAAAGAAUGUCCAUUAUUAGCUACUUAAAGCGUUAUGGGCACCUGAAACAGACAUUUAUUUUUCCUCUUAAAAUUGUGCACCUUCAUAAUUAAUACAGCAUAAAUGCAUUAAUUUCAAGAGAUGACAUGUCAGAAAGAGCAAGGGUAACCACUCAUUUUCUCUGUUAAAUUACAUGCUUGCGUAACCACAGUGGAUGAAUGAAGUACAAAAUCGGGUUGCCUUUAAGCAGUAUCACCUCAUUGACCUCUGAUAAACCAGAUAGUUAGAACACAGAUUUUCCAUUUUGUGCAGAAAGUCAGUCAAAGCUUGUCCAUUAUUUUAAGUCUCCUUCAAGACUAUAACCUGGGGGGGGGGGGAUUUCUUUAGGGCAUGUGUGGAUUAUUUUCACCUUACAGGGCUGAAAAACGUUUGAGAAUUUGAUCAUGAGCUAAAUGCCAUGUUUAAUGAACAGGAAAACCACCUUCAAGAAAAUGCAUCAUAGAUCAAAUUGGCCUAAAUUUGUACAAUAGCCACUUUUGUUAUUAAAUGUGCCAGCACCUUGUUUCUAAUUUUGUCAGUUCAUAUAUUUUUACCAAAGCCAAAUGUUGUACUUGGACACAGAGAACCAUUGAGAAAAUUAAACUGACACAAAGCCCAGUCAUAGUUUUAAACUUGCAUAAUGCAUUUUGCAAUAUUCAGUAUUAGAAAUUUCACUUUAUGACAAGUGGCAGUACCUGUUAUGUUGGUAAACUGGUUACUCUAGAGCUGGCUGCUGUCUUUUCCUUUCACCUGAGCCACCUGAUGUGAUUCAGCAAAGAGUGAUUGCUUGACAUGGUCUCAGUUUUUCUCCCCUGGUAAGUUAUUUGAAUCUAUCUUUCUGAACAUUAAUUUUCCAAGCAGUGAAUUGAAAUAAGGACAUUUUUCAUGGAACAGUUUUAAAAGGGAACUAAUAAUCAUUUUUUUCUUAUUAUUUUAUGCCCUGUGAUUUUUCACCACCCCCACCAGCUGGUUAAUCAUGCAAAAGCUGAACACUUCAUUAGCCGGAACAUGUUUGCCCAUGGGCAUUUCUUUAGUAAAUUAGUUCUUUCUAUUUAUGCAGGUAAGUCAUAGCCAAAAGUCUUUAAGGUACCAAAUGAAUUAAUUCCUUUCACUGAGUUAUCAAGAGAAUGCAACUUUAACUACGAGUACCAGUGGUUUGAUAUUACUUUUAAAUUAUGAAAGACGAAUCAUUUCCAGGAAUGUGAGAAAUAAAAUUGCCUUUUGGGAUGCCUACACUUGGGUAGUACUGUCACAGGGUUUCUUUCCGCUAAGAAAACAUUGUAAAAGUGUGUUGUGUGUUUGUAUUUGUGUAUUCUGCUGGUCCUUGGUUAGCCCUUUGUUCCAUAACUAGCUGAGUUUUAACCAUUAAUUAAAACAUGUGGUUUAUAGAUGCUUAGCUCAUUUGAAUCUGAUGUUGUAGUUUGAAAAACAGAGUAGUCUUGGGAUGAACUUAGCUUUCAAGCAAAUGGCAAUGCAGAGCCUUCUAUAUACCACAGAGUUUCCUGCAAUCAAUGUUGUUGUGUAAAUACCUAGAACUGAAAUAGUAUGAAAAGUACUUCUAAUAUAACUCUGCAAAGCUUGCAAUGCAACGGUUGCUUGCAAAACAUUUUCCAGAAGGGCAGCUAUAUUAAUAUGUUGCAGCAAAACCAGCCAAGAGUCAUGCAGCCCCUUAAGCAUAACAUGCUUUCAUGGGUUAUUUAUUAUUUAUUUAUUUAUAACCCACACUUUCAUUUAAAAAAAUAUCAAGGUUGGUACACAGUGCUAUUUUUCUAGAAAAAGAGGUGUCGAAACUCACCAUGAACGCCUCCCUUGUUCUCUUAUAAUGACAAUGGCGCCCACCUGAGAGGUGCUGUAACUGAGUUCCAGCGAGUUCCGACUGAACAAAAGCCCUGGUGGUACACAACAGAUUAGAAUAACAUCAGCAAAACACAUACCCGAUAAUUAAAGACAUCAACACAUACUGAUUAGUUUAAAAGAUAAAAUUCAUAUUUCAAAAGCUUGUCAAAAAAUAUAGUUAAGAAGAAGAAGAAGAAGAAGAGUUUGGAUUUGAUAUCCCGCCUUUCACUCCCUUUAAGGAGUCUCAAAGCGGCUAACAUUCUCCUUUCCCUUCCUCCCCCACAACAAACACUCUGUGAGGUGAGUGGGGCUGAGAGACUUCAAAGAAGUGUGACUGGCCCAAGGUCACCCAGCAGUUGCAUGUGGAGGAGCGGAGACUCGAACCCGGUUCCCCAGAUUACGAGACUACCGCUCUUAACCACUACACCGCACUGGCCCACUUCCUCAUAUGUAUUAAGAGCCCACUUCCUCAUAUGUAUUAACUCAUAUCCACAGUUGGUGUGUGUCUCUCUCUCUGUGUAUGUAUAUCCAUCCAUGUACUGGCGAAACCAUUUUAGGCAUGUCCAAAUGUCACUUGAUUGCUGACGUAUGGGUCUUUUUGGACCUAAAAGAGCAAAGAACAGGGGUGGAAUGGGGAGCGCUUACUUUUUAUGCUGGACUAAGUUUUGAUUAUGCCACCAUCAACCUCUUCCCUAAAAGCAGACAUAUAUUGAGAAAUUUGGUUUGGUUGUGACAUGAAGCACAUGUGCAGACCUGUUUCAUUUAGAUCAGGACUAGUUGUGAGAAUGGACAACACAAUAGUUACACAUUUCCAGAAAUGCUUUUUAAGGUUUACCAAGAGGCUAGUACUCCUGACAUCACAAAAUACACAGUGGUUCAUAUGUAUGCAAUUUAAAUGAAUCCCAUGUGAAAAUAAUUCUCUGAGUUUGGGGGUCGAUUUACAAUUGAGGGCUACAUUAGAUGUUUCACAGUAGAUGCAUCAAUGUUCUCCUGAAUUUAAUUAAAAAAACACAACAACAGCUAUGAGAGGCUUGAAUGGAAUGUCACUGAACAUUCUUAACCCACUCUCCUCCUGCUUGAUCCAGCAAGCCACAUUUCUCCUCACAGAGGAAAAGAAAUAGAGUCCACACAUCUUUUUGGGGGUGGGGGCAGACAUUGUGGGCCACUGAGAUCCAGUGCCAAGGGCCUUCUGGCGGUUCCCUCAUUGCGAGAAGUGAGGUUACAGGGAACCAGACAAGAGGGCCUUCUCGGUAGUGGCGCCCUCCCUUCAGAUGUGAAGGAAAUAAGCAGCUAUCUUAUCUUUAAAAGACAUCUGAAGGCAGCCCUGUUUAGGGAAGUUUUUAAUAUUUAAUGCUGUAUUAUUUUUAACACGAUUGGGAGCCACCCAGAGUAGCUGGGGAAACUCAGCCAGAUGGGCGGGGUAUAAAUAAAUAAAUUAUUAUUAUUAUUAUUAUUAUUAUUAUUAUUAUUAUUAUUAUAUAACAAUGUUUGAUAAACAAACUGCAGGAUGGGAAGAGGAUUAAGUUACAUUCCUGCUACUUUUCUGCUCUUGUUGGUAUCCUUUGAGGCUGUUUCCCACUAAUAUCAUCCCGUCGAUUCCUUCAGAUCUGCUGGAGAGAUUCUUCUCCAUGGUCCACCUGUGGCUGAAGCACAGUUCAUUUUACCUUGGUAGAUUCGCUUUGUAAAAUGUCUGUCAGUUCAUUUCUGAGCUCAAUUUAAGAUGUUCCAUCUAGUGUUUAAAGUCCUAAAUUAUGCUUCCUUGCAUAUUUUCAUUACACACCUUUUCUUGUAUACUGAAGACCUCUUUAUAGUUUUAGGACCAAUCAUAUUAUUUUGAGUGUAAUUUGUUUGAAACUGUCUUUAAUGAUAUAUUUUGAAUUGUUUUGACCUUCUUUGGACUUUAUGUUGAGAGGUGCGCAAUAAUUUGUAGUAGUUGUGGUAGUUGUGAUAUAAGGUAAAGGUAAAGGUACCCCUGCCCGUACGGGCCAGUCGUGUCCGACUCUAGGGUUGCGUGCUCAUCUCGCUCUAGAGGCCGUGAGCCGGCGCCGUCCGAAGACACUUCCGGGUCACGUGGCCAGUGUGACAAAGCUGCAGCUGGCGAGCCAGCACCAGCGCAGCACACGGAAAUGCCGUUUACCUUCCCGCUAUAAAGUGGUACCUAUUUAUCUACUUGCACUUAAGAGUGCUUUCGAACUGCUAGGUGGGCAGGAGCUGGGACCGAACGACGGGAGCUCACCCCACCGCGGGGAUUCAAACCGCCGACCAUACGAUCGGCAAGUCCUAGGCACUGAGGUUUUACCCACAGCACCACCCGCGUCCCAUUAGUUGUGAUAUAAAUCUUUUAAAUAAAUAAAAUUAAACAAAUUCAGCCCUUUUUUUGCUAUGGAAUUUUUAAGGCGCGUGUGCGUGUGCACACACACACACACACAUAUUAAAUCAGCUACACAAUUGACAUGCUGGAUUGAAGAUCUUUAUGUGAUGAGGCCUUAUCUCAGUAGGUUAUAUUUGCUUUUAUCUGGACUUGCUGAUUUCCUUAAUUAAUUUGUUGUUAGUCAACCUGAGAGGUGCAGACACAUUAGAAUGGUGGGGAAUAAAUUUAUGAAUAAACAAUGAAAGACCAAAAAACACACCCACACGCAACACGAAGCAAAACCCGGUUUGUAACUUACAGCCAGCCAGUUGAAUAUUGCUGUGGAGAGCAGGAAUCGGGAACCUGAGCACUGUCAGAUAUUGUUGGACUCUAGUUCCCAUAAGCUCCAGUCAGCACGGCCAGCUGCCAGGAAUUAUGGGGGUUGUAGUCUAAGAACAGUUUCCCUAUCACUGGUGUCCUAUUGAAAAUAUAUUUUUGUAAGUAGUACUUUUAUGUUGAUAGAAUUUCUAUAUGAAGCCAUAGUGUCAAUCUUUUAACUCAGUAAGAUGUUAAUAAGUUUUUUAAAAUAAAAGAUAGGUAUUUAUUUGAGAAAUACAGUUGAGCUCAAGCUGAGCUUAGUAACAGACGAGUUAAGAAUGUAGGCCUCAGGUCUGUGGAUGGUAGCUGUUUAUGUGGCAUGAUAAUUAUUUGGCAGGUGGCACACUUACUUUUUAUAGAAAGAUAUUAUUUCUAGUUUAAUACUGUGGUUUCAAAUCUCCCCUUGAAGAGGUCUUGUUUGGAGUACCAGGGUCCACUGCAUUAGACUUAUGUGGCCUUAAAAGGGGAUUAGACAAAUUCACUGAGGAUCAGAGGCAGUAGGCCUCUGAAUUCCAUUUGCUGGGGAUCAUAUUGCACUCAUGGGCUUCCCAUAGGAUUCUGGUUAGCCACUGUGAGAACAGAAUGCUGGUCUUUGGUUUGAAAUAUCAAGGCCUUUCUUAUGUUACGGUAUUAGGGUUUUUUGUUUUUGUUUUAAAAAAACAACAAUAAGAACAAUUAAAGAAUUAAGUGUUCAGUUAGAGAUGAGUGAAUCCCACCCAUCUGAAUUCUGAAUAUGCUUGUUCUUUCCCCAUCUUUUCAGAGAACCAUCUCUGAAAUAAAUCUGAAUACUUAUUUUAAGCAGUUUUGAGUAGGGAAGGGGCGCACACAAAGGAAAGGGAUGUACCACUGACCUGCAUUAGCUACUAAAAGUCUUAACCAACAGGGAAAUUGCCAACACAAAGAUCCUUGGGAAUUUUGAUUGGCUGGGAAGCCCUGGCUUGCUAGAAUUUCCAGGGGUCUUUGUGCCGAGUUCAUUUUGGUAAGGCCUAAUUUGUGCCCCGUGAGUAGCUGCCCUUCAUAUGCGUAUACACCCAUCAUAACUACUACAAUUAUGAUUUGGAGAAAUUGAAUUGGGGUGGGGAAGUUUUUGAAGCCAAAUUCAGUGAGAAUUUUGGCUUGUCUCAUAAACAAAUUAAGUGUCUCCAAACCUGGUGAUGCUGUACAUUUCUCUCUAGUUUUCAUAAUGCUGAACACUGAAUUGCUUCCAUUUCUGAUGCUUGAUAAAAUUUAGCAACAUUGCUAAUGAAACAAAAGUUUUCAAAUUUCAAGAGUGAUGCAUAUAUCUGAUUUGUUUGUUGAUGCCUUGCACUGGUCUUCAGUUGUAUCUUCUGUCUGUAUCCUUAAAAUGGUUCUUUUGAAUGUUUGAAAUAAUUAUAACAAUAUAUAGAUGAGACUGGGAUACGUAAUCCUAUGCACAUGGGAGUAAUUUUCAUGGAAAUAUAUAUAAUCUGCUUCUCAAUAAAGAUCCAUAAAACUGGUUGUUAAUCUGCCUUGAGAUAAGUCUUGCUCAGUUUUUAUUUCUUAAAAAAAGGUCUAGUCAUUUAUCUGUUUGAUCUUACUAAGGCAGGUGAGGGAGGUCGUCCCCUUUUGACAGAGCAAUUUUAUUUAUUUUUUGUCCAGCCACAGGAAAACAUUUUUGCAUGAAAAUAUUUGUAUUAAGCAAGUCAUCCAUACUGCACCGUAGGCUGUUUGAGUAUAACAGUAUGUUACAGUCUGCAAAGUUAAUGCAGUUAAUAUUCAACUGAACUUUUGGGGGGUUGCUAAUCCCUCAGGCAGGCUUAGCAGAAAGGGCAAACAUAUUUAUAGCACUUUGAAUCAGACUGCAGCAACUGAACAACAGUAUGUGUUAUACCAUCAAAUGUACAAUUUCAGCAAAGCUGAAUGCAAAGUAAGCUUUUAAUAGUACCUAAAUUGCUGAGGUAUCCCCUCUCCAUCAGAAAGAGUUGCAGAUUCAUUUGACAAGUUAGUUAAAAUGGAUCUAUCCAAAAGGUCUUUAACUGCCUUCUUUGUUUCUGGUGAUAAAGCUUUUUCCUUCUUUACUUUUUCCUUCCUUUCUUUUUUCUUUUUGGUAAAUUGCAGGGUUCAUGGGCUUCUUAAUUAGGAGCUAACUAUAUGUUAAAUCUCUACUACUUUUAUUAGUCCCUAAUAGUAUUUCACUGGUUUUCGUAAUGAUUUUUAGCAGGGCUUAGAUGAAAAUGAACUUUUAAAAUUUGGUGGGUCUGUAGCUGAAAGAAAAACAUUGGGAAAUUAUGGUUACCAACAGUAGACCAUGAGGGGAUUUUUUUUGUGGUUGGUGGAGUUCAGUACAGGUCAAUGCUCUCCAUGCGUGGUCACAUGAGGUAGGUUUUCUUUAGUACCUCAGCAGAACACAAGAGGGUAUGAUGCCCAUUGAGGCAGAAAGGUAGAGAAGAGAACAUUUAUGGGAAUUAAUUUCAUCUCACAUUUAUGUUAGUAGCAAAGUAUCCCUUGAUUGGGGUGGAGGAGUAAAAUCCAUUUAAAGUCAUAAAACAUUAUCUCUGCUAACAAAAGCAAUUUUGUUUCCAUAAAUAUUUUUGCUUUUGUAUUUUCCUUCAACUACAAAGAUGUUGCAGUCCCUACCGUUCGGCAAAAUGAGACAGCUGCCUCAGGCAGCAGAUAAAGGGGAGCACAAUUGUGGAGAACAUACCGUAAUUGUGUGUGCAACGUGGCAUGUCCUUCACCCACUAAAAGACUGGCGCCCUCAGGGGUGGUGGAGAAUGCUUGGCCUAUUCUUGAGAAGGAUCCCUUAGAGACUCUCCCCUGCUUCUUUUAAUAUUUUCUUCACCGCUGACAGGGAUCUUUUUGGCAAGGUAGCUUGAAAGGAUGCUGACUUGUCACCAAUACUGAACUAAGAUGAUGAAUCAAAAGCAUUUAUUUAUUAUUAAAUUUGGGCCUGUCCAUAAAAAGCAAGUCUAGAGUGAGAGACUUGGGUGAUACUUGCUGUUUCCAGGAACUCUUUUCAUUGUGAAACUUUUGUGGGUGAGCUGAAAGUUUGUUUGGACCCUGAGUGAGGACCUGGAGGCUGAGAGGGAGAGUGUGUCAGAAAAGAAAUGAACUCAUAAUGAUUUAAAUAUUAGUAACUUUGUAUUAGUGUAACUGUAUUUUUGUAAUGUUUUGUUUAAGCUGUCUGUUGUUGCUUCAGUUUUCUGUACACCACUUAGAGAUAUUUUAAAUAUAUUAAGUGGUAUAGAAAUUAAAUAACCACCAGAGUUUAUAUCUUGCCUUUCCUGCCAAAGGAGCCCAGGGCAGCAAACACAUAAAAGUUAUAAUGAUUAAAACACCUAAAAACCAUUCCCAUAUAGAUGCAGAAUGAUAGUGAAGCUAGCCUAGAGACCAGCUGCUACUCACUCACUCACUUACUCACUCACUCCUUCAUAUAUAUAAGGAUGCAGCUCCCCGCAUUUCCCCUGCAACAAUCCUAUAGGAUAGGUUAGGUUGAGUCAUCUCAAGGUCAUCCAGUAAAUUUCAUGGCUGAAUUGAGAUUUGAAUCAGAAUCCCUCCUGCUCCUAAAAUGAUUGGUCUCUUCCCAUUGGCUCUUCAUAGAAGUAUGUCUAUUAUCAGCUAUGGGUGGCUACUAGUUAUGGCGACUAUGUAAUACCUCCAUUGUUGGAUGCAGUAUGCCUUUGCAUACCAGUUGUUGGAAAUCACAAAUUUGAAGAGUGAUGUUUCAUUCGUGUCCUGCUUGUGGGCUUCCUGUGAUUGGCCACUAUGAGAACAGGAUCUAACACUAGAUGGACCAUUCACUUGAUCCAGCAGGGCAUUUUAAAUGGUGACAUCAGAGGGAGAGGUGAGACAUUCAUUGCAGCAUUCUUUGUCAACAUAAAAAGGGCCAUCAACUAUUUUGGCUCUUCUAUUAAACAGAAAAUAGUGUGUUGGACUGUCUGCCUCCUUGAGUGCAUUGGAAAAAGGCAGUAUAUACAUGUGAUAAAUCAUAAUAGAGUGGAUAAGAUGUCAGCAUUUAAGAUAUACCUGGAUCCUAGUAAUGCAGCCCAUAGAACACACAACAUGCGUCUCAACCAACCACAUGCUUUUGUCAUCUGUUUGUGGUAGCCUACUAAGGGGUUAGAUGAACUUUGUGCUUUUGUUGCUUGGUGGGAUCACAAAAAACAUGCAUUGUCAAGAAUCUGGGAGCUACAAUAUGUGGAUCUUGGCUGUAUUUGGCAUGGUUGGUUGCAAGUUGUGUAAACCUGGAAUGAAACCUGCUGCUUGCAAACAGAUACAUUCUCCUAACAUUGUAAGGCUUAAUUUUUAUUAAGUGUCUUGUAAACCCCUGCUUUCUAACCUUGGCAAAUAGUUCAUCUACUGAUAUUUUUAAAUCAGUUGUAAUUAAUAUUAUUAUUUAAAAACUAUUUUCCAAAUAAGAACAUAUAUAUUCAUGACGGGUAUAUUAUGCUAACAAUGAUAGAAAAGAUCACAUCAGUAAAUUGUAAAAAUUACUUUGAACAAAACAUCUGGUUGAAUAUUACCUUAAAAUGUAAAGUUUCAAUACUGUUAUUUAUAAACAAACACCAUCUUUUGAUAAAUUUUUAACAGCAUGGCUCUCUUUACACCUUUUGUAAUAUGAACUCCUUCCACAGAUGGCAUCUUUGCUACAUUCCAAAGUAGUAACCAUAUUUCUAUACUGAGACAAUUACGGAUCACCAUCUGUGUCCAGUGGGGUUUGCUCCCAGGUAAAUGUAUGUAGGAUUGCACCCUGGUGUAUUCUUCUUCUUAAUAUGCCAUUGUUGUUUUCAGUAGGCACUCUUGGGUGCAUUGGGUACAAUAUACAGUAAUAUGCAAGCUGGAUGCAUAGUCUGCAUGCUGUUUUUUCAGAAAUAAGACAAUGGCACUUUCUCCCACAUAAGGGAGUUAUACGUUUGCAGCCUUAACCUUAUGUAAACCUCUUAGAGGUUUUAUAAUUAAACUGUAUACAAAUUCUACUAAAUAAGUAAUAAAUAAAUCUCUUUCUUUAUUAGGCCGGUGUUGGUUCUACCCACUAUGCUUUUAAGCUUUCAGUGUACUGUGGAAUAGAAUGGAAAAACAACAACUGCAGAUUUGGUUAGGGCUCUUGAUGUUAAUUUGGUUUGCUGUAUCCAUAUGCAUAAAAGCAUGUGAAUCUUUCCGGAAGUGAUUUGUUUAAAGUUUAAAGUUCUCAGGAAAGCUGUAGAUCGUUAAUUAAUACAGGACAGGAUAAAACAGGCAUCCAGCCUGCCUGUUUUUUUGUGGAAUGUUUUUGGCAGGGUUCAAACCAACAUGAAAAUUCGCCAUCAUCAUAAAAUUUAGGACAGCUGGGAUGCUUUGCAGUGAGGACUUUUGGCUCCACAGUUCAAAUAAUCACAAUAGCAGCUCAAUUUAGCCCUUGGCUGGGUAGGUUUGGCAGGGCACAAUGAAAAAUAAUUAUUUCAUGGCCUGCUUAUUUGUCCCUUAAAAAAAAACUUCCUGACCUAGUCAGGCUUAUGUAAAUACACUGCCACAUGUAGGGAUGCAGAACAUUGCAGCAUUCCCCCGUUUGGAAAACUUUUCUUUUAUCUUUAGACUAUUUUUAGUAGUAUCUGUUGGACAUACAAAUAUGGACCGACAGUAUCAGAAAUCGAACCCCCGGGAUCUUCUUGGCAUUGGCUUUUCUAUCUAUAAGCCAGCAUCUUCCUUUUUAAAGCAUGCUUGUUUAGUAUGCAUAGUAUUGUUACUAGGGCAGCACAGGGAGUGACAAUAUAAAUAAGUCCAUUUCUUUGCAGUUUUGUAUUUACUCUGUCUAGGGGGACAACAGGCUUUUAAAAACAUUUGUUGCAUUUUGUCUUCAUUUGUAUGGCUAGGGUAGCCAGAUACAAAGGAGAACAGGACUGCCAUGCUUGAUUAAUUGGACAGAAGAGGUUCGUGAUUUUUUUGGUGAGAUGUACUCUGUCAUGCAGGAUGACCAAACUCUUGAAAUUUUCUCUUCUGUCCCAAGAUUGAAGGUUACAUAUGCCUAGGUCUUCCAGUCCUACCUUGGCAUCUGACCACCUUACUCCUUACUCCUCCUGUUUGAUUAACUGUGGUGCUUUAACUUUCUAUGUCAUUGGCAUCUCUUGCCCUGCAAGCUGCUGCUUGCAGGGCAGCAGCUGAAGAAGGAGCAAAAAGGGUUUUCUUGUGUGUGUGUUUCUUUGUGGCUGAUUAGCUGCUCUCCCUGUGCAAAGGUCAGAGGGGCAGGGUUUCUGUUGAGGCAGGUGAUUAGCUGUGGGAGGAGCUUAUCAGAGCUUGCAGGGCAGCAGCUGAAGAAGGAGCAAAAAGGGUUUUCUAGCGGCGCGCGCAGUUUGAUCCAUCUUUUAGAUUUAGGGGAGCUAGUCUCAAACGUUUGUUGGGGGAGACCUAGGUUUUUUGGGAGGGGAGUUACUUGUCCUGUCUUCUCGCUUUUUAUGCUGGCUGUAGCCAUCCCCAACGACACGUUCUCACGAUGGAGGGGGAGGGAACAGCUGCAGUCGCCUGCGGUUCCUGCGCAAUGUUUGCCAUCUUGCCAAAGGUUGCAGGCAGCUUUACCUGCAGCAAUUGCAUGUUGAUUGCCCUCUUAGAAGACAAAGUCCAGCAACUGGAGGAACGUGUAGCUACGCUCCAAAGAAUUAGAGAGCUGGAGCUCUUCUUGGAAGCAACGGAGCACACCGUCUCCACCAAGGAGGAGACAGGGGACUCCCCUGAGAAGGAGGCUAGUUCACCAACACAGGAGCCAGAUAUAUGGAGAAACGUGACUCAAAGAAGUAGGAGGCCCAGGGUUCGCUCUGAUUGUUUAGAAAUACACAGUCGCUUUGAGGUCCUCUCCCUAGCAUGGAAGACGAAGAGCAGACUCCAUUUGAGGAUCUCUCCCUCAUUACAGUCGAUCAGGUAUAUGAAGACGAGCAGCAAAGUCAGUCCUCAGGGAAUGUGCAGGUGACCUUGGAACGGACAGCUCACGGAAGAACCCGACCAAACCUAAGAGGAGGCGUGUAGAGGUGAUAGGGGAUUCCCUACUGAGGGAACAGAAGCAGUGAUCUGUGGGCCUGACAAGAUGUCUCGGGAAGUGUGCUGUCUCCCUGGGGCUAAGAUCCAAGAUGUAACUGAACGACUGCAAGGAAUCAUAAAACCCACUGACAAAUACCCCUUCCUCUUGGUUCAUGUGGGAACCAAUGACACUGCAAGCAAUAGCCUCCAGAAGAUCAAAAGAGACUACGAGGCUCUGGGCAGGAAAUUGAAGCAAUUAAAUGCACAAAUUGUCAUCUCAUCUGUCCUCCCAGUUGAACGACGUGGCUCAGGGAGAGAGGGAAAAAUAGUGGAAGUGAACAGCUGGCUUCGCAAAUGGUGUAAACAGGAACGGUUUGGAUUCUUAGAUCACGGACUGCAGUUUCUUGAAGAUGGACUUCUGGCAAGCGAUGGGCUGCACCUCACAACGGUUGGGAGGAAUGUUUUUGCCAAAAAUCUCAGAAACCUCAUCAGGAGGGCUUUAAACUGACUAAUGUGGGGGAGGGAGACAGUGCUCCUGAAGGUAGGAGUCUAUCAAUUGAUGAAGAUGAUCAUCCAAAUGUCAUAGACCAAAUGGAGCAAACAGCACGCAGACCUAGUGCUGGGAGGAAAAAAUCCUUAAAUAAGAGACACGGGGGAAUGAUUAAUGGACUUAUGGAUUAAUGGAUUAAUGGUCUGUAUACUAAUGCGCAAAACAUGGGAAAUAAACAAGAUGAGCUUGAGCUCUUGGUACAGCAAACUAAAUAUGACAUAAUAGGCAUCACUGAAACCUGGUGGGAUAAGUCCCACGAUUGGAAUGUAAUAAUGGAGGGAUACAAUCUAUUUCAGAGAAACAGACCAGACAAGAAAGGAGGAGGAGUGGCGUUAUAUGUCAGGGAUGUGUAUACCUGUGAAGAGAUCCAAGAUUUAGAACCUCAAAGCCAAAGUGAGAGCAUUUGGGUCAAAAUUAAGGGAGAGAAGAAUAACAGUGACCUCAUUGUGGGAGUUUACUAUAGAUCCCCAAGCCAAACGGAGGACAUAGAUGAUGCCUUCCUGGAACAGAUGGCCAAGGGAGAUAGUAGUAAUGGGGGACUUCAAUUACCCAGAUAUUUGUUGGAUGUCAAACUCAGCCAAGAGCAUAAGGUCAAACAGAUUCCUCACUGGCCUUGCAGACAACUUCAUUUUCCAGAAAGUGGGAGAAGCAACAAGAGGAACAGCCAUUUUAGAUCUGGUCCUAACCAAUGUUGAUGACCUGGUUAGUGGGGUAGAAGUGGAAGGAUCAUUAGGCGCGAGUGAUCAUGCUCUUCUGAAGUUUACUAUACAGCGGAAAGGAGCAGCCAAGCAUACUAGGACUCAAUUUCUUGACUUUAAGAAACCUGACUUCAUAAAACUUAGGGAAGUGCUGGGUGAGAUCCCAUGGACAGUAAUACUAAAAGGAAAGGGAGUUCAUGAUGGCUGGGAGUUUGUUAAGAGGGAGAUAGUAAAAGCACAACGUCAGGCAAUACCAAUGAGACGGAAACAUGGAAGGUGCCUAAAGAAGCCAGGGUGGCUAUCUAAAGAACUUUUAACUGAGUUAAGAUUAAAAAGGAUGUGUACAAAAAUGGAAAAGGGAGGAAACCACCAAAGAGGAAUUCAAACAAAUAGCCAGCACGUGUAGACACAAAGUCAGAAAAGCUAAAGCAGAGAAUGAACUCAGGCUUGCUAGAGAGGUUAAAAGCAACAAAAACGGCUUUUAUGGGUAUGUUCGUAGCAAAAGGAAGAACAAAGAAACAGUGGGGUCACUCAGAGGAGAAGAUGGUGAAAUGCAAACAGGGGACACAGAAAGGGCUGAACUCCUCAAUGCCUUCUUUGCCUCAGUCUUCUCCGAUAAAGAAAACAAUGCCCGACCUGAAGAAUUUGGAGCAAAUGAUUCAGCAGAGGAAACACAGUCCAGAAUAACUAAGGAGAUAGUACAAGAAUACUUGGCUAGUUUAGAUGUAUUCAAGUCUCCAGGGCCAGAUGAACUGCAUCCAAGAGUAUUAAAAGAACUGGCAGAUGUGAUCUCAGAACCACUGGCUGUCAUCUUUGAAAAUUCCUGGAGAACAGGCGAAGUCCCGGCAGACUGGAGGAGGGCAAAUGUUGUCCCUAUUUUCAAAAAGGGGAAAAGAGAGGACCCAAAUAAUUACCGCCCAGUCAGUCUGACAUCAAUACCAGGGAAGAUUCUGGAGCAGAUCAGUAAGCAAACAGUCUGUGAGCACCUAGAAAGGAAUGCUGUGAUCACCAAUAGUCAGCAUGGAUUUCUGAAAAAUAAGUCAUGUCAGACUAACCUGAUCUUUUUUUUGACAGAAUUACAAGCCUGGUAGAUGAAGGGAACGCAGUGGAUGUAGCCUACCUUGAUUUCAGCAAGGCAUUUGACAAGGUGCCCCAUGAUAUUCUUGUAAAGAAGCUGGUAAAAUGUGGUCUUGACUAUGCUACCACUCAGUGGAUUUGUAACUGGCUGACUGACCAAACCCAAAGGGUGCUCAUCAAUGGUUCCUCUUCAUCCUGGAGAAGAGUGACUAGUGGGGUGCCACAGGGUUCUGUCUUGGGCCUGGUCUUAUUCAACAUCUUUAUCAACGACUUGGAUGAUGGACUCAAGGGCAUCCUGAUCAAAUUUGCAGAUGACACCAAACUGGGAGGGUGGCUAACACCCCAGAGGACAGGAUCACACUUCAAAACGACCUUGACAGAUUAGAGAACUGGGCCAAAACAAACAAGAUGAAUUUUAACAGGGAGAAAUGUAAAGUAUUGCACUUGGGCAAAAAAAAUGAGAGGCACAAAUACAAGAUGGGUGACACCUGGCUUGAGAGCAGUACAUGUGAAAAGGAUCUAGGAGUCUUGGUUGACCACAAACUUGACAUGAGCCAACAGUGUGACGCGGCAGCUGAAAAAGCCAAUGCAAUUCUGGGCUGCAUCAAUAGGAGUAUAGCAUCUAGAUCAAGGGAAGUAAUAGUGCCACUGUAUUCUGCUCUGGUCAGACCUCACCUGGAGUACUGUGUCCAGUUCUGGGCACCACAGUUCAAGAAGGACACUGACAAACUGGAACGUGUCCAGAGGAGGGCAACCAAAAUGGUCAAAGGCCUGGAAACGAUGCCUUAUGAGGAACGGCUAAGGGAGCUGGGCAUGUUUAGCCUGGAGAAGAGGAGGUUAAGGGGUGAUAUGAUAGCCAUGUUCAAAUAUAUAAAAGGAUGUCACAUAGAGGAGGGAGAAAGGUUGUUUUCUGCUGCUCCAGAGAAGCGGACACGGAGCAAUGGAUGCAAACUACAAGAAAGAAGAUUCCACCUAAACAUUAGGAAGAACUUCCUGACAGUAAGAGCUGUUCGACAGUGGAAUUUGCUGCCAAGGAGUGUGGUGGAGUCUCCUUCUUUGGAGGUCUUUAAGCAGAGGCUGACAACCAUAUGUCAGGAGUGCUCUGAUGGUGUUUCCUGCUUGGCAGGGGGUUGGUCUCGAUGGCCCUUGUGGUCUCUUCCAACUCUAUGAUUCUAUGAUUCUAUGAAUGAGAGUCUAAAGGCAUGUGUUGUGGGUCUGAAGCUGGUCGGUGCUUGAACAGGAUUGUUUUUUUUUCUGAGAGUUUCUUGAGAGCGAACUGUUUCGAACCUCUUGCAGGAAGAGAAGGAAGAAGGUAAGAUUAUAUAAAUAAAGUGAAUAAUGUGUAGUCUUCAACCACCUUAAAGAGGCAUCUUAAAAGUGCAGAAGAGUGAUACAAUAAAAGCAAUAUAUUUGUUUUAGGGUGAAAAUGGAGAGUAAAGAGGGAAAACAAAAUUACAAAACCUGCACCAAUUUCUAUUAUUUGCCUUUCUCUUUGAUUUUAAAUGCAUGUUAGCUAACAUUCUGCCUUCUACCGUAGAACAAGCACACACACAGGCAAAUAGUCACAAGACUACACGAUUUCCUAAAUCACCUUCUCCAGCCUAAUACUGGCUGGAGCUGAUGGGAAAACAUUUGGAGGACAGCACUUUGGGAAAGGUUGUCCUAAACAUACACUCAUGUAGGGGGAGGUGACCUCUCUGUUAUUCUCUUUUUCAUUUGGACUGCCCAACCAGAAAUCAAAUACUUCUUAUGAUCAUGACAAUCUUCCUUUCAGUGAAUGUUACUUUUUCUCAAAAUGUCAUUAAAAGGGGGAUAAAAUCAGCAGUCAUGUCAUGCAUCGGGAUGGAUUCCUAAAUGUAAAUGAGAAUCUUGCAGUAAUUUAUUUACAUUUGUUUUCAGCACAACAAAUGAGACAUCACGUAGCUCCAUAAUUUCCCAUGACCGAGUCACCGGCAUGCAAUGUGUAAUUUACUAUGAUUUAAGAUGCUUAUCGGCAGGUUCUUGAAGCAGUACCUGGUGACUUUUUUUAUAAUACUUUCUCGUGACGGCCUUCACUCACUUCAUCCUACAUAUAUCCCCAUCUGGUUUAUUUCUAAGCUGAAACAAAAUUAUAAUCUUUUGUUUUUACUUGCCUUUCUGAGUUGGAACUAAGACAACCUAAUAAGACAGGCUUUUCAUGAAAGUUCUGGAAUUUGCACAGAUGUUAAGGCCUUUCAUGUCACCUCCUUUAUCUGAAGUUCUGUUGGUAAAGAACGAAAGAGCCUUUUCCACCCAUCUUUCCCAUUCUUUCCCUCUUCUGUGUUUGCUGUUUUCAUUGCUUAUAUUUUGAAAUAUUAUAGUCUUUCAUGAUACUAUAGGCCACUUUUACUGGAUACUUAGGUUAGAAAAAUGAGUGUACGAAUUAAACUAAACAAACAUUUACCUGUCUUAACCACAGUGUUGUUUUUGAAGGCUGAACUGGUGGUGUAGUGUGAGGGCAUAUGCACCUAAGCAGGAGUUGAUGAACCUUUUCAUUCAUGAAUUAAGUUACCACUAGUGCUGAAGUGUUCAUGCCACUACCUCCUGUGGUGCCACAAAAUGUCUCAGUAAAUAUCCCUUCAGACAUACGCAAUGCACAAGAGAUUGAUUGCACUUCCUGCUUUAGCCUUUGCAUCCACAGCCCUACACUGAUACCACCCUUAAAUAUGCCUACAUUUUAUUGGAUGCCAGGAGUGGACACCCUCCCUUCCAUUCUGAACAGAGGAGAGAUGCAAAGGCCUAUCUGUGAGCAAGUACAGCAGUGGCUGAUGUAGGCGUCUUUUUUCCUUUGAUGUGGGACAGGUUGUGGGAAAUGCACAUGCCCACACCAUUUGUGUUCCUGUUACUUGGUCUGCUCUUUUAUAUGAGCCGUUUUUUAUUAUGCCAUGUGCCCCAUGACAGCCAUUCCAAGAAUAGGCCAUCCUCUUAGGCAGUGCUUUUUUUUUCUUAAAAAAGAAAAGAAAAGAAAGGUGCCUGUACUCACCAUGAAGUUGUUACAGUAAGUGCCACACUUUUUAACAACAACAAAAAGAGGUGCCGGUAGUGCGUACCCUUGAAUACCCCCUGAAAAAAGCACUGCUCUUAGGACUUAAUUAUUGCAUAAGAAGCUAUUUAUGACAGUGCAGUCCUAUGGCAUUUCCACUCCUUGUUCAGGAUGUAUUUUUCAGACCCCUGAAACACUUCCUGAAUAAUUCCAAAGUUGGUGAGUGGCCUCUCCUGGACUUAAAUUGAUGCAGGGCAUGCUACCCAGGUCAAAAUUGCUAAUGCCAACACCAUUGUAUUCUGUUUUCCCCUUCUGAUAGCGAGUUUCCCUUCCCAAUCUAGACUUUUAAGGUUUUCUUCCCUAUAGUUUGACAGAUAUGUGCUCAUUCCACACCACGAGGAUGUGACUUGAUUCAGCAUUGGCAGACUCAUUUUAAGUGCGGUAAUCAUGGCUCCUGGACAGAAAAGUUGUUUUAGCUACAGCUGCACAACUACCACUCUCCCAGCACAAGAAUAUUUGUAAGAUCAUGCUGGAAUUACAUAUUAUAAAUUGUACAUAAAUGCUCACUUUUUGAUUUGACGGAAUACUGUGUACACCUGUAACUUGAAAUAAAAUCAUCACCAAAAUUUUAUAUUAUCUUUGCAUUUUUGUUGAAUGUAAAGCAUAAACUGUAGAUAAUGCUCAAAUCAUUUUAGUUCAGAUUCUGAGCAAUUGGUUUGGGGCUCCAAGCCUUUGCUCAGCAUUAUGCAGACAUCAAUCCUUUUUAUGCUAAGGGCCAGUAUAUCUUCAGAUUAUUUACAGAGCUGCAGAUAAAUUGCAGAAUCUCCAAGACAAAAGAUUGCUGUAAGCAAAUUAUUUGUCCAGUGUUCUUUUAGAAUAUACUCAUAUUGUAUUCUACAUGUUUUGAAUAAGAUUUUAAAACAGCUGUAUAAAUUUUUGUCUGGCUUUGAGAGGAAAGUUUCUUUUUUUGGCAAAUAGUGGGCUUCCUUCCUAGGGGAAAAAUACCUUACAGUGUCAAGAUCCCUAGCAUUUGGGGAUGUUUUCUACUAAUUGAACCUAAUACUUGCACUUUGAAAUCUGAUUCAGGAAAUGUUAACAGGCAACUGUCAAGGAUAGACUAUUCUGGGACAGGCUGUGCUUGCUUAUUACUUAAUUUUGUACUCCACUAAGCAUCUAUUCAUUUGCACAGUCUUAUUCUCAACAGGAACACACUGAUUUUUCCCCUGUUUCAAUUUUCUUUUCAAAAAUAGCUUUCUAGUGGAUGCGUGAGUCCCAUAUAUUUUCCCAAAAAUCAUUAUUCAUAUUUUUAAGUUGUUAGCAACAUUUGCUUCUACUAUCUGCUACUUUAGCAACUGUCUUUCUUCUUCAGAGCUUAUUUCUCUUUCCUGAGUGUGAUUCAUGUACUGUAUUCAUGAUGUGAACAUGAUGAUGUCAUGAUUAUUGGUGAACUACUGACAUUACAAAGGGAAAAUGAAACCCAUUCAGAUUGCGGUCAGGUCUUCAUAAGUGACUCCAUAGACUAGUGUGGGCAACCUUUGGCCCUUCAGAUGUUGCUGAACUGUAACUCUCAUCUGUCCCAACCAGCAUGGCCAGUGGCCACGGGUAAUGGAAAUUUUAGCUCAGCAACUUUUGGAGGGCCAAAGGUUCCCCAUACCAGAUCUAUGGGAUAUAGAAAUCUAGAACAUAAGUAAUUGGCAGAUAGUGAACAUGGUGAUGUCGCUGAGUUCAAAUUUAAGGCUAUUGAAUGAAAUGUUUACGUGUAUUUUUUGUUUGUUUGGUCACUCUACAAAGAAUGAGAACAAUUAAGUUGUAGUGGUAGCCACCAACUUGGAUGGUUUUAACAUAGGAUCAGACAAAUUAAUGGAGGAUAAGACUAUCUUCUACCACCUCUGAUAGAAGCAGUAUGCCUCUAAAUACCAGCUGCUGGGAAUCAGAAGUGGGAAGCAUGCUGUUACACUCAUGUCUACCUUUCAGGCUUCCCGUUGCAUCUGGUUGGCUACUGUAGGAACAGCAUAAUGGACUAGAUGGACUUUUGGUCUGAUCAAGCAGGGCUCUUAAAUUGUUGGUGGUACUAUUGAGGUUCAGAUGUAUAUGAAAUAGGCUCAAUUUAAGUAACCUGCUUUAGGACUGUGGUCAAAAUGAUUGAUUUGGUGAUAUUAUAUUGAGUAAUGUAGAAUGUUUUGUAUAGUAUGUGUUUAAUAUUUACAUAACAUUUGUAUAUUUAUAGCUUGAUCAAUUUAGUCUUUAGAUCUUUGUAUUUUGAAAUUGUAAUCAAAUUGUUUAAUAAUUAGAAUGGUAAAAUAAAAAUGCUGAUAGAGGGACACUGUGCCUUUUGACACUGAAAAUAUUAAACUCACCUUAUCCAUUUGGCUCAGUCUUAAUUUAGAAUUCUAAGGUGAGUGCUGAUUGGGCAAUUUUAAAAAAAUAAGCAUAACAUCUGUAUCUGUUCUCUUUUGCUUUUUUUUUAAUUCAAAAGUAAACUCCAUCCAAUUUGAUGAAAUUUGCUUCUAAGUAACUAUGCAAGACUGGAGUAGAUCAGGGCUAGUGGUCCUAUGCUUUUUCAAUGAUGCCAGAGGGAUGAAACCCACUUUUUGGAAAAUCUUGAACCCUGUCUUUUUAUACAGGCAGAAUCAGAAGCGCCAUGUGAAAUGUGUGGCUUAACCAGUACUCUUUGGCUUAUUUUCCAUUGAACACAUCUGUGCUUGACUAUAGGAGCUAGUGCCCUACUUGGCAUCUUUCUUGAGCUUGAGUAUCUGAUGUUUUAAUCUUGAUUGUUUUGUGUUUUGGAAUCAAAGAAGGAAGCUGCACCAAACUUAAUGCUGACACUAUGGAUAUAGUAAUAGUUCUGCAAAUUCAUAUCUAUUGUAUUUUAUGCCAGUUUAACUGUCAUGGCUUUCCCAAAGAUUCCUGGGAAAUACAGUUUUGAGAGUCUGCUUCAAAUUAUUUGCUGGCAAUCCCUAGGAUCUUUCAUUGGACUACAGGGGUUCUCUGGGGACAGAUAAUGUGUAUUAACCCAGUUUUAAGUUUGCACUCAAACUCUCCGUUUUGAAAACAUUAAGUUCCAUUUUGCAUAUCACUCAACUGCUUGUCUCCUUAAUUCCAAUCAACAUCUCACUUAUUGCUAGAGUCAACACUCCAGUGGUAACAAAAAAUAAAACCUUUCAUCAUCUAUUGAUUUGCCGUCUUGAAAAAAAUGACAAUAGGCUAUUUUUGUCCAAUUUCUCAAUAACUAGAGCCAUUUAUUGGUUUUUCAGUUUUACUAUAUUGCACAAGAAUGUAUUUUACUGCAUUUUUGAAAACUGCAGUAUCAAGAUGCAAUGUUUUGUAGUUUUUGCAAGCAAAUUCAGAAAUUGUAUAGUCCAACUGAGAGCUAUAAAGAUACCUGCCAUAUUUGUAAUAGUAUCUUAAUUCAAAUUUAACUGCAGAGGGCAAUCGGGCAUUUGUUAACCUAGUAGACUACUGAAAAAUAUCUUUAGACAAACUUGGUUUUUUAAAGUUAUAUUGUUUCGUAAGUCAUGGAAACAUGAACAUUGUGUUUGUGAUUUUGUCACAGGAGUCCAGUGUGAGCUUGAGAAAUAACUACAGCUUCAGCUAGGUGAGAUUUGUACCUAAAGGUGCAUAUCCUUUUCUGUGAUUUACACUUUCUAACAUUCUAAACUACGGUACAUUUUAUGAGUUAUGAAUCUUGCUUGUUUAAAUAUUUUUUUUUUAAAAAAACCACACACAACAGGAUUCCUGGUUCACAUAUAACACAAAGCAAGAUUUUAGCCACACAGGAGUAGAGGUGACCAUGCAAAAGAGGGAGCUUUGGGCUUCCUAAGGCUCACCCUUUUAGUGUUAAACUAUGGCACCAAGACUUUUGUGUUUGUAAAACAAAGGAAUGGGGUAAAAAUUGGCGUUUCUUGAGUUUUAUGUGGUUUCAGUCCAAAAAACUGAACUGAACUGUGGCAUCAGGAUGAUCGUCCAAUAAGUUAAUUUAUCCCUUUCCGUGUAAAUACAAUGUAACUCUAAGUUGGAAAGGAAAAAUAUUCUUUAUACAGCAGGAUAUAGAUGAUAGUACUAGCAAAUGGAAAAUGUGACAUUCAGCUACAAGAAAAACAAGGAAGACCCAAUAGAAAGAAACUCAAAAUUGAAUGUAGCAUAAAGGGAAAAGAGAGUCAUAUAUGUAACUAAUACCAUGCUAUUUAUUGAAAUCUCACCAGUGACCUUUACAGCAGCAGUGCUUCAAUGUAUAGUUAUGCAGAAAAGGAAAGUGAUGGCUAUUAUAAAGGGAACAUAUGAUUGGAUUUAGAUUCAUGGGGAUGUAGGUUUUGAAGAGGUGCCCUUCAUUAUCUGUGGAGCAUGUAUAUCUAUAGUAAGACUUAUUUCAUUGUGGUCCUUGAAAAUAUGCUGCAUUCAUUCCUGCUUAUUUCAGGUCCGGUAGCAAAUUUCUAAAGUUUGCUUUGGGUGUUACCAAUACAUAUUAGGGGAGAUGUUUGUGACUGAUUAGUAAUUAUAGUUCAGCAUAUUUUGUUUGGAGUUUAUGUUCAAUGCUUUGAGUUGAAGUUUCCAGUACAGUCUCAGCACUGUUGUUGUUAAACUUUGUAUAUCUCCUUCCUCAAUAGACCACAAGGUGUUUCACAGCAUAAAAAUACAAGAUAAAAAAGGUUCCUAUCCAUAUUACUAAUUUAAUUUCAAAUCUAAUUAACAACUUCUCCUUGUGGGGUGUGUGGAGUAGAGAUGAACUACAUUGUUAAUCCUAGAGUUCAAAAUGUUGUCGCUGUAUUGUUUGUAUCCCUUGGUUAGAUAAAUAAACAAUCAUAAGCUUUUUCAAGCACAUGCUUUUAAUGUCAUUUUUUUUGGCAGGUGAAAAAUUUCUUAUGAAGUCUUGAAGAUACAUUUAAGGCAAUAUUUAAGUAAAUAUUCACAAAAUGAAUUCAGUUAUACAAGGGAUAUUCUACUUUAUUUAAUAAUAAUAAUAAUUUAAGUAGCUUGGGGGCUGGGGAGAACCCCAGUUCAAAACACUGGCUGCUUAAGGGUAGAGAACUAAAUCUCUCUGCAAUUUUAUUUCCAAUACAAAUGCACAGGCAUCAUAGUAGUUAAAUCAGUGAUAGAAGUAUGUCUUGCAAUAACAUUUAGUACCUUUUUAGCGAUCAUCUAACACCCGUGUCUUCAUCACGCUUCACAGGCUACCAAACAGAAGCAAUUUUUGUUUCCAAAUACAAGGUGAGCUUCUAGAGGGAUUUUUAAAUAAAAUAUUGUUGUGAAAAGGAAGAGAGUACUGCAUACAGGUGAAAGGUGGAGUUUUCCAGGGUGUAGAAUGGAGUGUUUGUCUCUUUUCUUCACAGGAGGUAAAACAUCAUGGGGUAUCUCACCUUUUCUACUCUCCUAUUGUUUUCACAUCCAUCCCAUUAUAGGAUCACGUGGAUCCAGCACCUUCAAUUCAUUUCAGUUCUGUCACUUAUGAAGCUAGAUGUGUCUCAGUACUAAGUCUUCUCUACAGUCCCUUUGGGCAUUCCUUAUAGUUAUUCUUGCUGCCAAUAUUCUAUUAGAAAAUUCACCAUGUACCCUUAAACCUACACCCCAGCUCAAUUCCUGAGUUAAAGGCUACUGGAGAAUGCUUCUGUUUUUCAUAUUUUAACAGGGUCUCAAAGAGGUGGUAGUUGUUUAAAUUUGCAAACUUUAAUAGGGAAUUUGCAUUCUGUUCUUCACACAACUUUGGCUACUACAAGUCCAAUUGGAUUUUGUUUUCCUUAAAUUUUUUUUGUUUGUUACAUUUCUAUCACACUCUUUUCCAAGUAUCUCAUCCUGAGCUAUAAAUCAUUAUUAUUUUAAUUUACAAAUAGGAUCUGAGGCGAGGAGCUAAGUCACUUUCCCACAAAAUGAGUCCAUGUCCUAGAGCUGUUCAACAGUGGAAUUUGCUGCCAAGGAGUGUGGUGGAGUCUCCUUUGGAGGUCUUUAAGCAGAGGCUUGACAACCAUAUGUCAGGAGUGCUCUGAUGGUGUUUCCUGCUUGGCAGGGGGUUGGACUCGAUGGCCCUUGUGGUCUCUUCCAACUCUGUGAUUCUAUGAUUCUAGGUGGAAUUGAGCUCUGUUGAAGUCCUACAUACAGCAACACUUUUAUGCUUAUAGCUUAGAGAUGUUGAAGACAGAGCAUUUUGUCCAUAGAAAUGCUUAGAGUUUUAUUGUUGCAGGAAUAGCUGUGUGUGUGCGCGCACACACACACACACACUUGAUUUUUGUUUCUUCCCUCCACCAAUCUGAGAUCUAAUUAAUAUAGUCUCUACUCACCACCUUUAUAAAAGCAGAAUGCCUAGCCUUGUAGCCAUCUGCCUGGAUAUAUAAGUACUGUUCUAUUUUUGACCUGGACACCUAUGCUUGAAGAACAUCAUGCAAGUUCAAAAGUUGAUGGCCUUAUACAAGCAUCCCCCCACUUAUGUGGGGGUUAUGUUCUGGGCCCCUGCACACAUAACUGAAAUCACGUAAAGUGCGGAGCAACCGACUUUAAUUGGGGGGUGCACAGGUAUGAUAAAACCCUGGGGAAAGUGGAAAAGAGAGAGCUCAUUUCAUAAAUACACCCAUAAUGGGAAACCUUUGCUACUCGAAGCAUUCAGAAAAAAACACCACACUUUUUUUUAAGAUUCCUCUUAACAUUUGUUCUGCACCUUGAUAGUGUUUUAAAGAAGAAGAAAAAAUCUGGUGACUGUUUUCAUUAAAAGGGUUUUAAAUAUAUACAUAUAAUAAUUUAGAUGGCAGUGGGAUGGCAAAAUGUACAAAGGCAUGAAGACAGCCUUCAGUAAAUCAAAUAGCAAUACUUAAGUGGAUAGAGGGAUAUAAUGGAUUUAUUAGCAAAUCUCAAACUGGUUUGCAGAAGAUGGGAGAGGGAUGCCUCUUGAAGGAGCUACUAGAAUUUAGAUCGAGCAGAUUGAAAGCUGCAUACCCCUCAAAACCUAACGAGGGUGGGGUUCUGCUUGUUGGCACCUUUUAGGGCACAACAUGAGCUUCUGUCAUGGUGGAACCUCACACUAGUGACAUUCCUCUCUACUAGCAUAGACUGGCAGAGAGGUAUCUAUACAUCAUCUAACUGGCACUGGGAUGGGGUUAGGAUUGUGCAGCAACAUGAUGUUUUAAAUAAAUGAUUUUUACCCAUGAAGAAUGGCAUCCUGAAACUAAUACUGUACUGGAAUUGCUAAUAGACUCAUGUGCGCAUCAGUCCAAAAUAUAAUUUUGAAAUAUGUUCCAAUACUUAUUACCUCUGAAUGAAAACAAUACAUGGAUUUAAAAAAACCAGACUAUACUGAAAUGUAUAAGUAGAUGUGUUGUGCUAUGUGUUUAGCUAUGCUAGAAUGAACUGUUCUUUAAAACAGCAUUUUUAGAUACUGUUAUUUCCAUUUCAAAGUAAAAAUAUCUUAUAUGAAAAGGUUCAAUUCCCCAGUGAGAAAAAAGGUUGUAUGAGUUUCUUGACUCACCUUUUUUCAUGUUUUGAUCAUAUGUGAAGAUCAGAACACUCCAUCUUUUUUGUCAACAUUGCUGUGGGAAAAAAUGUCAGUUGAACAUUUCCCUAGGGAUGUAAAGGUUCUGUCCUGUUGCGUUAGGCUUUGUUUUCCUUUAUCCUUUGGUUGCUCAGACAGUGUGUUGCUGAAUAUGCAUAGUAGUUUUACAUAAAGAGGUAAAUUUUCAGCAUCCAAAUAAACACAGAUUUUUAUUAUUUCUGGCAAAAGUAAACCACAUCUAUCCAUAAAUGUACACUAUUUAGACCACGGGUUUUUUAUGUUAUUAAAAGUUGAGGAAGAACAUAAAAGUUUGGAUGCUAGAGCAGUAGGGUUUUUUUAAAAGGUUCCAUCUUGGAGCAUAAAAAUAAAUUUGACUACUCAGUCCCAAGUGCGUUUGUUCGAAAUAAGGUCACUUCCAGAUGAUCUGUUCACUGAGCAUUCAUCAUGAUUUGUUUGCACAACAUUUGUGGGGAGGUUAGACAGCACGAGUGGUAGAUUAAGCAUUCAUUUUGAUUUGUUUGUGAGGAUGUUGUGUCGAGCCGUUGUUAUUUCACACUUUCCAAUAUUCAUCUGCCCCUUUAAAAUUUGUUGAGGGGUUACUGGGUUGUUAUUUUUAUUUUGAUUGUGUAUUUUGUGGUUUUAUAUUCUGAUUUUAUUCUGUGAACUGCUCUGAGAACUGCAGGUAUAGGGCGCUAUAUCAUCAUCAUUAAUAAUAAUAAUUAUGUAGUAGUAGUAGUAGUAGUAAUAAUAAUCAUAAUUCCUGUCACUUUCCAUUUCCCCAAAAGUCUGUUUUCAGGGGAGGGAGAGCAGGUUUGUUGUGCAAGAGCACCAGAUCAGGUUUAAUUACACAAUCUGAAUUUGCUAGUAUGUGAUUGAAUCCUACACCAAAAUAACCACAGUCUGGUAGCAACUCUGAGUAACAGCCUUAUGCAGCAGUCUUAGGCAGAGCUACUCAGAAGUAAGCUCCACUGAACUCUGUGGAACUUAGUUCUGAGUAAAUGGGUGUAGGAUUUGGCUGUAAGUGUGCUUAGGAUAGCAGCCUUACUGAGGCUUUAUCUGAAGAAAAAACUGUCUUGUUUUUAUUUGACUAGUAAUCCAUAACUUUAUUCUUAUGUAAUCUGUAGUGCAUUCCCCAAAUGGUACUAUAAUUAGCUUUUGUGUACAGUUUAACUUAGCCAUACAGUUGUCAUAUGAUCCAAAGAUUGCCUGUUGUAGUCUUAAAGUCCCCUUGAUACAUACCUUGUAGAGAAACAGAUUUCCCAGUGGAAGUAAGGAAUUCAUUCACAUUAUUCCUUUUUCUUUUUGCAUGAUAGUUUAGCUGCACUUUGCAUACACUAUAUUUAUUAAUUAAUAAAAAAUUAAUAGUAAUAAUAAUAAUAAUAAAUUAAUUCUCAUCACUGUUUUGGCAAGUGUCCUGUACAUUUAAUCACUGUAACACUUCUGUACACAUUACAACCCUUUUAGAUAUCUAGAUUAAAAAUCCUACUAGAACAUUCUGAGUACUAAAUCAUACAGAAUUACAGUAUUAUUAGAAGCAUUAAAAGAUAAGAAGCUUUAUUAUACAUUUUGGGAGACUUAGACUGUAACACAAACAACUGUAAGGAGGAAGGAAAACUUUGUCUAAAAUAUACUGGUGAUCUCUUAUCACAGUAUUACACAAUAAUCAUUUUGUAGUUGCUUCACUAGCAAAUAAUGUAUCUUCUUCUUAUUUUUCAUGUUAAUCAGUAGCCAGUCUUCAAGACUUAAAAUUGGGAGGUUGGGAAGGGUGUGUGUGAGCACCCAGAAAAAUGCGAAGGCAAACGAAUAUUACCAUGCCACAUUGGUAAUAUAUGAAAUGGGCUUCAAUGAUUUAUCACCUCUUGAAGUGAAGUGAGUUGAUUUUAUGGGCCAUGAGGGGAGUAAAGGCUCUUAAUGUAACAUUGUUUCAUCCUUGAACCUAAAGUAAGUGACCAUAUAUACAGUAUUGGGGUGGUUCUCACUCGUGUUUGGUAUUCAUGGUUCCAAAGAAUGUGAGUGAUUCAAUAUAGUCAGUAAUAAGAUGGAGACGGGAGAGGGAGACUACAGAUCAUGUGACAGGAACAAGAAGGACAAGUACCUCACACUUCAUGAUUCUCCUCUGAUAUAGAAAAACUGUUUUAUGCAUUAUGUAAAAUGAGGUGAUAGAAUUUUAGACUUUACCAUUUCAUACUGUAGGGUGUAAUGUUUUUGAAAAUGGCAGUCCCAUGUUGCAUUUAUCCCUCAAAAAAACAUUCAGGUGUACUUCCCUGUGUCGUGACAUCAUCAUGUCUCCCUGCCCCCAUACCCCAUCAUUGGCUAGUGUGGUAAUGGAUAAUGUGAAAUUGCAUAAUAGGUAUGUGCCUGAAUUUUACAGAGAUUGGGUGGUAUUAACUUGACAAAAAGUUGUUGUUUUGCUUGCAGUGCUAUCUUGAGUAUUUUUACUUCUCUACUUUAAGAGUUACAAGUAGCUAAUGAGGGUUUGAGGGGGAGGAGGUGUUCUGCUUUUGUACAUUCUGUUUGAAAGGUGGCAACCUAGUCACUGAAUAGAUUACUUUAGGUACUUUAGGCUAAUAAACUAUUCAGAGGUAAACUAUUAAGAGGUAAACAAUUAGAGUUCAACAACUUUUUUUUUAUUUUAUUAAGACAUUCUACUCUCUAGUUUUGUAGUAAAAUAAACCAUCAUGUUCUAGUUGUCGACACAUGGAAAUCCUUUCUCCACUGGCAAAUGCCUCCAAUAUGGCUCCUAAAAAAUGGGAAAUCCUUUUUAAAUACAUGUGAGAUAUAUAGCCAGUUUCUAAGGCUUUUUUCAUAGUAUGCAGAAUGCAAGAGUAAACACAACCUGAAGUUAAUUGCUUUCUUAGGAAAGAAAAGUUCAGUUUCUGAGGAUUGGUUUAGAGUCUUGGUUUACCAAAGAACAUGAGCCAGGAACUGGUGGUGGUUGCCAUUUACAAAAAGCGACACCCUGAUACAACACAGUGCUCUUCUCUAUGUUGGGUCUUGCCUUUAGUAUGGACAGAAAGGUGUUUGGGUAAUUUCAAAUUCUAGUUUGUGCAUUAACCUCAUACACUCCAGUCCAUAUUGCUAUACUGAAUCAGAUAACGGGUUCAUCUAACUCAGCAUUGCUACAAUGACUAGCAGCAGCUCUCCAGGGUUUCAGGUAGGGACUCUCCUGGAAUUAAAGGCAAGCACAUUACAUGCCCACAUGAUUGUGUCAAAGAUUUAUCAAUAAAGCAUUCUGGAUGGUUGUGGGAACAACAGAGCCCCCUUUCUGUUUUAUGAAUAUUCUUCACUGCCUAUUUAUAGCUACUUCUGUUUCUCUUAUAAAAGAGUAAUUUAUUCCUGAAGUAUCUCCAACCAAUCAGGCCUUAUGUAGGCAAAUUGUGAUUAUAUCACAUUAUCAUAUAGUCAAUUCCUACACAUUAUUGUGUCACACUGCCACAUAUGAAUGAGGUCAGUACUGCUGCCCUCAUUCUGAAUGAGUGAACAUGUUCAUUCACCACAGAUCAUAAAUCCACCCAAAUAAUCACCAAGUCAGCAUAUGUGUGCAUGCAUGUGCACAUCAUAGAGGAGAAAGGGAGAUUUUACAAAACAUGUGUCAUUGUUUUGGCUCAAUAUGGACACAUAUUUACAGUUUAGUACACCACACUGGAAUUUAAUUAGAAUAAAGUAUGUCAACUGUAUAUUGAAAUGCAUAGGGGCAGCAACAUUUAUGCUUCUUGCUCUAUGUAUUAACUGUGCUCUAGUGAAUUAUUUAACCAAAUACUUUAAAAUCAAAGUUCUAAAAUAAUCCUCAGACACUUAACACCUGAUCCAUUUUUUGAUCUUGUUGGUAAUGGAUACUUCCACAUUAAAUCUGUAUAUAAUUCUUAGCAUUUUACUUUUUCAGAGUUGGACAGAAAAUACCUCUUUAAAAACUCAAGUAGAUAGCAUGCGACCCUGUUCUGGUUCAAGCUUGGAUAAAGAGAAGUAGUGGCUGAGUCAAGCAGUCCCUGCAGGUGAGAUUUUCAGGGAGUUACAAGGGAAUGCAGGAAUACGGGUAUAUGUGUUAACACACAGUAUAGCUUGAAUAAGGCACUAAUGAUUAUUUAUACAACUAAUCUUGAAGAGCUGAACAAUAUUGCCUUGCAAAAUGAAAAAUCUCUUAUAUCUGUGUCUGUUGUAGUUGGCCUUUGGCCUUUGAAAUAAGCAUGUUGUGUGGUAUAAUUUGUAAUGUUCCUUUCCUUCACCUACUUUGGAGGAUUUGAAAUCUGCUUACCUUAUCUAGACCAUAGGAAGUCAACAUAAUACUCUACAAAUGUUGUUGGGCAACAAUUCCCUGGCAGCUUUGCCAAUGGGCAGGAGAGAUGGGCUGUGUAGUUCAACAGCAUGCUCACUAGUACUGAUCUAGAACCAUUGAAGUGGAUUCAGCUUGUGCCAUGUAGUGUGGUUUGCCAGCUUCUUGUCAAACCUUUCUGCAGUCCCAAAUCAUAUAUUUGAGAUGCUGUUUAGGCAGAUUUCAAAGAAACCUAAAACAAACCUUUCAGGUGUUUUUUAACCACAACUCCCAUUAUCCCUGGCCAUUGGCUAUGCUCCUGAGGCUGAUAAGAGUUCACCAAAGCAUCUGGAGGGCACCAGGUUGGAGAGCGCUGUUCUACAUUGCUUGGCAAUGGCUCUUCAGGGUCCCAUAUGUGGGAAUAUCUGGAGAUGCAAGUUAUUGAACUUAGGACCAGACAAAUAAUAUGUUCAAAAAUGAAUAUGCUAGGGUAAAGUGAAAAAAUGCAUGUAUUAGUGAAAAUAACACACAAAAUGGAUAAUAUAAGGGGGAAUUGCUUAGCAAAAUGUUAUAUUACAUACACUAAUGUCUAUAUUAAGAGAUUGCAAACUAAUUGCAAACUGAUGUGACCUGAACUUAACAUUAGAAAAAUGAAAAACAAAGAAACCAAUAUUGACAGAUCUGCCUGUUCCUAGCUAGCAGCAAUAGUAUCCUUCAUGUGAGAGCACUACUAGCUCAGAGAGUUUUAUCCUUUAUUUUAUAUAUGAAUUCCAUGUUUUCUUUGAAGAGAUCCUACACAAAAACACUCCUGAUUAUAAGCAUGGCUAUAAGUAGCUUGGCUUCUUUGUAACCUAUGAAAUGCAUAUUUAAGUCACGCUUGAAACCGAUGAUUAAGACCUUAUACUCAUAUAGUUUUGUAGAAAUGAAAGACAUAUAAUUAUCAACAGGGGAAAAAAUGAAAAGCAAUCCAAAAUAUGAAGAGCACCCAUCAGCCAUUUGGCAAAAGCUCUGACUUGAGGUGGAGAGGGAAGAAGAUAGAGAAUAAUGAAUUCAUCAAACUGUAAAUGCACAAACCAAUGGAGCGCUUAGACUUCAAUUCAAGGCAAAUGGAAAGAGAGCCCCCAUUACUGUUGAGAUAUACAGACACAGCCCCACUAAUCAUUUGGUCAUGCUUGGGAGACAGCAAGUCAUCACAGGCCAUGACAUGAGGAGAACAGUGC
This 72631-nucleotide long non-coding RNA is filed under the name Podarcis lilfordi (Lilford's wall lizard). The record is from RNAcentral. Lineage: Eukaryota; Metazoa; Chordata; Lepidosauria; Squamata; Lacertidae.